UCAACUUCAAGGUGGGAAGCGAACAAUCAUUUCUAAGAAAAAUUUUGCAAAACUUUUAUGCCUUCCAACUCAAGGACCGUAUGUUACUCCAACAAGUGAAGAUCUCAUUGAUAUGUUCAAUUCUAUGGGUCAUGAACCUUAUAUGAAGAAGCUGUCUGAAUUCAAAAAGAGCAAACUUCCUGCUGUUUGGAGUCUGCUAUUUGGAUUCAUUCUUCGUGGCUUAACAAGUCGUGCUUGUGGAUUGGAUGCUGCACGCAGAGAGGUAUUGUCUCUUAUGUAUGGGUUGUAUAAAGGUGUGAAUGUUGAUUUUGCUACGGUGCUUUGGGGUGACUUUGUUGAUAGCAUCAAACAUUCAAAAAGGGAAACUGAACUUUCUGCACAUAGAUUUUGGGGUUUAAUAGUUUCUCAGGCUUAUGAAUUUCACAAAAUUCCAAUUGAAGAGUCUGAAAUUCCGAAGAUGGUGAUUCAUCAAAUUAGUAUUCCGACCAAAGUUAAUCAGUCUCAUUUCUCUUUUGUUGGUCAGAUUCCUGAAGAAAUGUUGAGUUUGAUUAAAUGUCCAAGUAAGAUUUUGGAUCAAUACAGGGCUUCUCUUAUCAUUCCUUACCCUGUUCGACCAGCACCUAAAGAAGGAGAAGAUGUUAAACUUACAAAAAUGAUUAGGAAGAAAAGAAAAACUCCACUUGUUAGGAGUAAACUUGGUUCGACAAAUGUUAAAACUGAAUUUAAGAAAAAGUCAAAGCGAGUCAAGAAACCAAGGAUUGUUGAAGAACCAGUUGCUGAAGAAGAGGACACGCAACGACAUCAGGGUGGUUCGAAUUUUGAAGAAGAUGUUUCUAUAACCACAGCUCUAACAAUUGUCACUUCUUUAGCGGAGACAAUUCUGAUGUCUGCUGCUACAACUCCAGUCGAAACUACAUUGGUUGAGACAGUACCCAUUUCAGAACCUGUUGUCGAAAACUCUAUUUCUGAACCAAUGUCUAUCUUUGAACAUUUGACCACUUCUGAAACUCAUAUUUCUACUUUAGAUCAUUCGGAAGCUACAAUUUUUGAAAGACCUUUAAAGAAUACAUUAGGGAACGUUUCUAUAGACGAAGAAGAAGAAGUGAUUGAUGGAUUUGUGUUUAAGGCCGUGGAAGAUCGUUUUUUUGAUGAUGUUGUCGAUGAUUUUGAGAUGGCUGCUCUUGGUGAAGACUUUGUUGCUUCUGAUGAAGAGGAUGACGAAGAUGAUAAUCAAUUGAUGUCUAAAAGAGAUUUUAAGAAGUUGAAUCGUAAGCUUAAUGUUGUAUUACGAUCUCUUGAUUCCAAUACUCAGUCUGCCCAACAUUUUAAUCAAGAAAAAAUGCUUGUUGAUUGGUCGGUCAUGCUUUCUGAUCAAAACAAAAAGAUUGAUUCAUUAACAAAUGGUUUUGGUCUUUUUAAAGAUCACAUAAAUAUUGAAACCAAGUCCCAAAUGACGAAGGUACAAGAAGUUAUGUUUAAUGAGUGCAAAAAGCUUCUUGAUGAAAUCUCGAAGACGAGAGAAGAGAAUGAGAAGUCUUUAAACAAGGCAUUUAGUGAUCUCAAAAGUCAACUCAAAAGUCUAUAUGAAUCUCUUACUGAAGCGAAACAAAGAGAAAUUACUUUACAAAAUGAGUUGACGAAAGCGUUAGCCCAUAUCGAGUUUCUUCGUUCUUACACGAAUGUUGUUAAUCCAGAAGAACUUGCAAAGCAGGUUGAGACUCAAAUGGUUGCAUCUCAUCUCAAGUCUCUACAACCUGUUAUCGAAACAUACCCAAACAGUGUUCCGAAGGUAUCUUUGUCACCUUCUAAACAAGGGGGAGGAGAAAGUCAGCAAUUCAAUAUCAUGACUCCAGAGAUCAUUCUUAUAUCAUCCGAAGGUACUUCUUCUGUUCCAUCUUCUGAAGCUACGUUUCUUGCAACCUUACCAUCUACCAUAUCAAACACUGUUGCAUUUCCUGUUUCUACUCAAUUCACAAAGAGUAUUCCUUUGCCAUUAUCAAAACCUCUUUCAAUUGGUUCCACUGCUGUUACUACAAUGCUUUUAUCAAGUUCUGAACCAAAUUCUUCAAAAGGAAAAGAAAAUAUGGAAGUGCUAAGUAAGGAAGAAUUGAGACAGAGAAAAACUGAGGAAAGAAACCGUUCCCAAUUGAAUUUUGAUGCAGAGUAUGUUAAAGGAGUUGCUGAAGAAGAAAAAAUGGAAGCUGAGAAUAGGGUAAACUUGAUAAGAAGUCUGGGAUUUUCUGAAAAUACUGUGUUUGACCUUGUUCCCAAAGAAAGCUGCUCAGUUAUCAAUUCUUUGGAAAAGCAAUUUGAUUUUCCUAUAUCUCCAAGGGCAUAUGGCUAUCCUAUAAUGAGUCCAAAGACUAAUGAAAAUAUUGGUGAUUUGUCAUAUAACGAAAGACUUGUUCGUUUCUAUGCUUUUGUUGGGAAACCUUCAAAAUAUUCCUGGAGUCCAAAGAUUAUCAGAAGUGUUGAGUCUGUCAUAGAAACAGAAAGUUUUGAAAAUGUGUUUCAGAAUUUCAAGUUUGUUGUUCGGAGAGACAUUAUGGAUGAUAUUACUUUCACGAUUGCCGAUUUCCCAAAUUUGAAUCCACAUGAUUUAAUUGUUUUAUUGAAGCUCUUAAAAGACCCAAAUUCUGUUGCGAUGCACUCUAUCAAGACUUUUCUCUGUUACUAUUACAGAGACGUAGCUCGAACUGAUAUAGUCUUGGCUGGAGCUAUAAAUCAGAAAGUAAAGUUACCAAAUAAAGAGGCUGAAGGAAUUGAUAAUAUUGGUGCUGGAGAAAUUGUUACAAAACCAACAUGGGGUUCGACUUAUUCAGUUAAGGUAGCAGGUGGUAGAUCAAAGAAAGUAUUCUUCAGGAUGAAUGAGAAAGAGAGGUUCCCUAAUAACGUGUUGGAGGGAAUAAUUCAAAGGAUUAUGUUGAAUUCUAAAAAUUCGGAAUCUGUUAGAAAGAAAGCUGUGGAUAUGCUAAGAUGGUGGUUGAAGAUCAGAGAAGUUUUGUUGGAAUUGGUUCCUGUUUUAUUCCCAGAUUUGAUGAAAGAUUAAUAUCCGAAGUGACUGUCAUUGUUGAGUGUCGAAUUAGUUGUGGCAGUCAUGACUUCCAAAGUUUAGGACCUAACAUGAUAGGUGGCCCACGAACCCGGUCUCAAAUAGUGGUUUAACUUUACUCAGCAAAUCGCCCUGUCCACUGUUAGCAUCUUCUGUGAAAGAUAAAAAAUAAACAAACAAUGUUCCGUUAAGACUUUGGGUGCUUGAAAGUUGCAGAAUUGGGUAAAAUUAAAAUUUUCUGAUAAAAGUUUAAUAUUGUUCUUCAAGUUACCUGAACCAUCAUUUGUAAUGUAUAUGUGUAUGUGGGUGUGUUGAUCUAGCAAUAUUUUUAUAUACAUUAAUAUUGCCUGAUGAGCUACAUUGAGGAUUUCAUAAUCUUUAGGGCUUUAACAAUAGUACACAUAACUGAUAGUAAUUGCAAUUCUUGUUAAGAUUAGGGAAUUCAUUCAAGAACGUAUAUUGAGGAUUAAGGUUGCCUGAUUAGCUGCAUUGAGGAUUUCAUAAUCUGUUAAUAACCAUUUUUUCUGUUUUCUUUAUGCAGGGGAAAAGGUGACAAGUGUUAGUGACCAUGAUCCUGCUUUGCUAGAGUACUUUGAUUGCACCUAUUCUAGAGCAAUCAAAAUAAAUAAAUAAAUAAAUAAAUUAAAAAAUUAACUUUUGUUCCAUUAACAUCAGCCGCAGUCCAAGUCCAUAGUACAACCUGAUGUGUCUUGUUUGUACAACAUGUUAUGUACAUAUGUCCAACAUGGGAAAUGGUUGAGGCAAAAAGAUCUUCAAAAUUAAAUGAAUUAAAGGGUUUGGAAUUUCUUAUACAACAACUUGGACAUGUAAAUGGAAAUCAUAUUCCAUAUUUCCUGAUUGAGACUGGUUAUGUCUCUAAACAAGAAAUUGAAUCUUCUAUUUUUAAAGUAACUCAAUUAUUAAUGAAAGCUAAAGGAGAGCAAGAUGAAACUGAAGAGAUACAUGAUCCUUUUGCAACAGAAAAAUAUACCCUUACUGAUAUUUUAGACGAUAUGCUAACUCUAGACUCUAGAACAAGUAUUUUAUAUGUUGGAUUUUUCACCUCUAAAUGCACAAAAUAGCAAUUUACUUUCAUUGGUUUGUUUAUUAUAGAAUCCUACUUUCAUAUGUUCUUAUUACAACAUUGUAAUAAAAGACCUACAUGGUUAUAGCAAUGUCAUCCAAAUUAUAAAGAUUUUUUUUAUAAUUUUUGGUAGAUUUUAUAAAAGUAUAAUGUCAUAAAAAGAAAAAGAUCGAAACUGCAAUGCUAUAAUUAUGUACGAUUUUCAAAGUACUAUCCCUUAAUAAGACAUAAUUUGGCAGUGCAAUAACGUAAAUUGUAUAGAAGAAAAUGGAUAGUUGAUGCUAUAAUACACAUAUAAAUGAAAGUAUGUUGUUAUUUCUUGCAUUUAGCCCUAUAUGGGGAUCACAUGACGUGUGGAAAAUCCUAAGCAAAUUGCAAGACCAUCUAUCACUAAUUCAAAGUUUUUGAUUGUACUUAAUAGCUGAAAGCAUCAACAUCAAAAGCUAUGAAAUAAGGAUGGUUAAAAUAUGGUAAAAUGAUGACAAAAACAAACAAUUAUUAUAUAUAAUAAAAACCAUCCCUCUUAUGAAUAAUAUAGUUGUGUUUUCAUAAUUUCGCUACAAAAGUUUCUUAUUUCACACUUUGGCAACAAAUCUAUUUUCUUAUUUUAUAUUUUGGCCACAAAAGUUUAUUAUGUUGGCAUAUUUGGUCCCUAGACUUUCAUAUAUUGGCAAUAUUCUUCCCCUUAUUUUGUAGAAUGACACUUUCCACCCCAUUCUUUAUAGAAUGGCACUUUCCACCCAUUUAUUUUGUAAAAUGUCAAUUUUACCCCCCUCAAAUGUGAACAGCGACAACGUCCACCCUACCACUUUUGUAUAUUGCCAUGUUUACAAGUUUGGUCUCUAGACUUUCAUAUGUUGGCAAGUUUGCCCCCCUCAAAAACCGUGCACACAAAACGAUAAUAGAAAUAUCACAUUCACAAAAGCAUAUCCAGUAAAAAUGCUGGUUCAAGUAGUUUGAAGAACAAUAUCAAUUUUUUAUCAAAACAUGUCUAUUUUACCAAUAUAAGAUGUGCCAUUGUCGAUGACGAUGGGGCAACUUGUAGGUAUAAGAUUGUAAUCUGAUUGCUUUGCGUUUGUGAUAUGACUGAUAUUUGCUCUGAUCACCAAAAAAAAAUUAAUGACAAUGCAGAAGGAGAAUGCGGGCCCUAACUUCUCCCACUGGGAUACUCAAGCGCUUAAAGUCCUAAAUGGUCAUUCUUGUUCAUCUUUUAUCUUUCACAGAAAAAGCUAACUGUGGGCCACCUAACAUAUUAGCCACUAUUUAAGACCUGGUUCUUUUAGUUUGUGGCCCACCUAACAUGUUAGACCAAUAGGUUCAAAACUUCGAAAGUCAUGAUUGUCACCAAUCUCACCCAUUGUGGCCAUACACUUCAAACAUUAACCUUUCUUAAUUUCUGGGAAUAAAAUAGGAACAGAUUCCAACAAAACUUCUCUGAUAUUCAACCACCAGCUUAGCACUUCGAACAUUAAUCUUUCUUAAUUUCUGGGAAUGAAAUAGGAAUCGAUUCCAAAAAAAACUUAUUUGAUAUUCAACCAGCACCUUAGCACUUCGAACAUUAAUCUUUCUUAAUUUCUGGGAAUAAAAUAGGAACCGAUUCCAACACAACUUCUCUGAUAUUCAACCACCACCUUAGCAUAUCUACAACUUUCUUUCUCAUAGAUUCGAAAUUCUUAGAAUUCAACAUAAUCCUUGGAACCAUUCCCUCCAACACAUUAUUAAGGAAUCUCUCUUUCUUAUUCAUCCCGAAGGAUACUUUCUUUGGUCUACCACUUGCUACGCUACCUAAAUAAGUCGAACCCCAUGUUGGUUCUGUAAUCAUUUCUCCAGCACCAAAACCAUCAAUUCCCUCAACAUCUCUAUUUGGUUAUUUUACUUUUGGAUUUAUAACUCCAUCCAAGACUAUAUCAGUUCGAGCUAUAUCUUUGUAAUAGUAACAGAGAAAAGUCUUGAUAGACUGCAUCACGAUAGAUUUUGCCUUCAAACCCCAAUCUUUUGAAAACUUCAGCAAAACAACUAAAUCAUGCGGAUACAGAUUUGGGAAAUCACCAAUUGAGAAAGCAAUAUCAUCCAUAAUGUCUCUCUGAACAACAAACUUGAAAUUCUGAAACACAUUUUCAAAACUUUUGGUCUUCAUGACAGACUCAAUCUUUUCGAUCAUCUUUGGACUCCAUGAACAUUUUUGACGGUUUCCCAGUAAGAGCAUAGAUACAAACAAGUCUUUUUGUUAUAUGUAAAAUCACCAAUAUUUUCAUUAAUCCUUGGAACCAUUAUAUGAUAGCCAUAUGAGCUUCGAGAUAUAGGAAACUCAAAUUGUUUUUCUAAAAAAUUGAUAAUUGAGCAGCUUUCUUUUGGAACAAGGUUAAACACACUAUUUUUAGAAAAUCCCAGACUUCUUAUCCCCGCUUCCACUUUUUCUUAUUCAGCAACUUUCUUAGUGUACUCUGCAUCAAAAUUCACUUGAUAACUACUUUCUUUUUUCUGUUUUAAUUCUUCCUUAGCACUUCCAUCGUUUCUUUUCCUUUUAAAGAACUUGGUUCAGAACUUGAUAAAGGCAUUGAAGUAACAACAAUUGAACUAAUUGAAAGAGGUUUUGAUAAUGGCAAAGGAAUACUCUUUGUGAAUUGGGUAGAAACAGGAAAUGCAACAAUGUUUGAUAUAGUAGAUGGUAAGGUUGCAAGAAAGGUAGAUUCAUAUGUCAAAGAUGUUGGUAAAAACAUCAAAGGUUGAACUGAAGAAAUACCUUCGGAUGAUAUAAGAAUGAUUUCUGGAAUCUUGAGAUUGAAAUCCUUUCUCCUUCUCCCCCUUGUUUCAAAUGUGACAAAGAUACCUUCAGAACACUCCUUGGGUAUGUUUUGAUAACAGGUUGUAGAGGCUUGAGAUGAGAUGCAACCAUCUUCAAAGUGAGAUUUAUGGCAUUAGCCAUUUGAGCCUCGACCUGCUUUGCAAGUUCUUCUAGAUGAACAACAUUAGAGUAAAAACGAAGAAACUCAAUACAGGCUAAAGUUUUCGUCAACUCAUUUUGUAAAGUAAUUUCUCUCGAUUUAGUAAUAGAUUUAUUUAGACUUUUGAGGGAAUUUUCAUGUUCACUUUUGAGCUCACCAAAUGCCCUGUUUAAAGAUUUCUUAUUCUUUUCUCUCAUCUUCGAGAUUUCAUCAAGAAGCUUGUUGCAUUCAUCAAAAAUAACUUCUUGUAUCUUCGUCAUUUGGGACUUGGUUUCAAUAUUUAUGUGAGCUUUAAAAAGGUCAAAACCAUUCUUUAAUAAAUCAAUAUUUUUGUUUUGAUCAGAAAGCAUGACUUACCAAAGAAAAAAACCAAAUAGAAGACUCCAAACAAGCAAGAAAUCUGUUCUUUUUGAAAUCAGACACCCUCUUCAUGUAAGGUCAUGAUCCAUAGUAUUGGACAUAUCAUUGAGCUCUUGACUUGUAGGAAUAACAUACGUUCCUUGAGUUGGAAGACAUAAAAUCUUUGCAACAUAUGUGCUUUCCACCUUGAAGUUCAAAUAAAACCCUAUCAUUCAUUUUGUUGACAAUUGCUGUAGUGAAUGCUAGAGUGACGAUUCUCAUUGGAACCUCUUUAGUUGUUGACAAAGCUCUAUUUAGAAAAGAACAUUUCAUACAUUCCACCAUAAUCUGAAGAGAUUUAGGAUAUUUGGAUGGAUUCAAAAUGGCUUGACAAUUGCUUGACUAAGAAGUAAAGGUCGACAUUGAAGACUCUUCUUCAAAAGAAACAUGAUCAGAAACUGCAGUCAUUGUUUGGAAAUAGCAAAUAAAAUUUAGAAACUAGGGUUAUUGAAUUGCUUAAGAUAGUAGGGAGAAAAGUAAAAUAAUCUAAUAUUUCCAAAAAUUCUACAUAAUUCAAUAGGCUAACAAACUGCAUUUGACUUUUCAAAGUCAUACCAUAUGUGUCUUUGUUCAUCCUUCUUUCACAGAGGAAUUGUGAGCAUAUUAAACCUACUUUUUGAGACCGGGAUUUUUAGUUUGUCGGGCACCUAACAUGUUAGCUCAAUAGGUCCAAAUAUUAACAUGGGAUCACUAUAUAAAUAAGAAGAUACAAAAGUUACUGAAAAAGAUGAGAUACUAAUAUGAAUCUUUUCUCUACAGAAACCUACAACAAGGUACUCUUUUUCACCAUUAUUUUUCUUUUUACCAUUUUUUGAUUUUAUUGAAGAUUGAUGAUGAGAUAAACAAGCAAAUACAUCAAACUCAUUUUUCUUUUUACCAUUUUUUAAUUUUGUUGAAUAUUGAUGAGUUACACAAGCAAAUACAUCAAACUCGAAGGAAGGAAAAAGAAGGAGAUACAUGCUUGAUGUGCAGAUGGUAGCGAUAGGAAGAACGGAAGAGAUGUAGAUUGCUUUUUCGGAUGGAACAAUCAAAUGAUGGGAAAAACGCACAUGGAAUAUCAAUGCUUGUAGAUUCCAACGGGUGAAGAAAAGGCAAAAGGUAAGUAAGAACAAUGAGCAUAUGCAAGAAAAAACAAGGAGGAGGUUAUGGAAGCAGACAAUAUGAUGGUUUAUGUUUACCUAUAUGGUCAAGAAUUAUUUUAGAAUAUAUUCAUACCAAUAAUACCAAUAACAAGUAAAUACAAAUUGAAUAUUUAUUAGAAUUUGAUUGUUGAUAAAUAUUUAUAUUUCUUGCAAUCAAAUGGAAAUUAAUAAUUUGUUAAAAUAAUAAAUUUUAAUAUUAAGUAUCAAAAUUGUAUCAUAAGAUAUGAUAAAUUCGUGUACAUCCUUUGGGUUAAAAGGGUUUUGUUCUUUAAAUAAAUGUACAUAAGUUUUUAUAAAAUAUAACAAGUUGAAAGAUCUUUAUAAAUCUUGUCUUCUUUCUUCUAAACCUAAGAAGGCUAUGAGAGGGGGCAAAAAAUAUUGCUAGUUGAUUGUUAUAAGAAGUUAGUUGUAUUUUAGAAGCAUGACAACUUACCAUCAUUAAGGAUAGAUGGUGUGUUAAACACAUUGGAUAAAGACUAAAAAGAAGCUUCAAGGCUUUCAACCUCCUCUACCAUUUGAUGAAAAAGUUAAAGACUAUAAUUUUAGGAUGUAUGUAACUAUAAUGGAAUAACAUACACCUAUAAUAACAUAAAAUUCAUUUGAAGGGUAUUUUAGUUAAUUAAUAUUAAGUAAUAUAAGGAAAAUUCUGGAUUUUAAGGGAUAAUUAAUCCUAUUAGUUUAAUUUUUUUAAAUAACUAGUUUCCAGAUUUUUGUUUGUUCCCAAAAAAAAAAUGAAACAAAAUUAAAAUUGCAAAUAUAUUUCAUUCUCAUUCAUUUAUCAUAUAUAUAUAUAUAUAUAUUCCUUUAAUUNUAUAUAUAUAUAUUGCAAAUUUAUCAUUCUCUUUAAUGUAACAUACAAGUACAAAAUUGAAAUUGUAUUGAGAAUAUAAAAAAUACAUGUGAAGAAUAUGUUAAAUUCUAACUAUUAUUAAAACAUUGAUAAUAAACAAAAAAAAGGUUUAUAUUACAUGUACAGAAGUUUACCUAUAAAAUAUAUAACUUAGAGCUUCUACCACCACCACCACCACCAAACAAUAAUAUAAGAAAAUAAUAAUAAAACAAAUUAUGAAUGAGGAUAGAGUAAAUGACCUGAAUAUUAGACUUUUUAACGGAUGGUUUUGGAUUUUGGAUGCUGAAUAAACUCUGAAUAAUAGUCUUUUUAAUGGAUGAUUUUGGAUCUUGGAUGAUGAAUGAACUCUGUUAUUCAGAAAUAUAAAUUUCAACACAAAAGAUUUUGAGAGUACAUAAGUCUUACACAUUCUAACUCUAAUUUAUUCAUUCGGGACAAAAGCCUUAUUUUUACAUGAUAGAAGACUCUUAUGGAUAGUCCAUGAUUACAAAACGAUUACCUAACAAUUAUUUUACAUGACUAGACUAUACCAGUAAUAUUCAUUCUAUAUUAUGAGAGAAGAUAUUACUACAAGACUUUAUUUUUCCAUUAUCUUAUAUUAUUAGAAACGACAUAAUUAUAUUAUUACAUUGGUAAUGCUUUAUUUGAUCAUUGCUUAUGCAAAUGCCUAGUAAAUUGAAUAUUUAUUUAUUAUUUCUUUGUUUGCUCUUCUUUUUAGUGAAAACUUUUUUUUUGCUUGUUUGUUGUUAUUCAUCCAUCACUGUUUACCGUAAGCUCCAUGUUUGGGUUAAUAGAUAGCCACAUCAACAUCUAAUAUGGAAACAUAAAGUGCCUUGUCAACAAUUUUUUUCUCACUUGGGGUCGACAACCGGUUACAAUAGGUAGAUUAUCCAAAUUAACCGGUAAAAAUCAAGCUUAUACUCUUAGAUGCAAAAAACACGAGACUUUAAAGAAAGUAAUAAUUGGUUAAACCAUAAUAAUACUAAUCCUACAAGUUAUAUUUUUUUUUUGUUUUGUGCGUGUUUGUGUUUUUUUUGGUUGGGCCAAGCUAACAUGUAGUCAACAAACUAAAAAAUCUGGUCUGUGACAUUGGGUUUUAUUAUGGUCAACAAACCGCUCGGUAAGUGUUGGCUUCUUCGAAAAGUGAACAGGAGUGUUCAGUUUGGCUUUUGUCGCUUCAAAGUUACAGUGGAAGAAUUAGGGCACGCUUUGCUCAGUCAAGUUUUCAAAAUCAUACUACAAUCUCAUACCUGCAAGCUGCCAAGUCUUCAUCGACAAUUGCAAUUUGUAACAGAAUUGGGUAAAAUUGAAAUUUUCGGGUAAGUUUGAUAUUCUACUUGAUCCAUUAUUUGUGAUUUAUAUGCGAUAUGCUAAUGUGAUGAUUGUGGAUAAGCAGAUAGAGUAAGCCAUGGAACAUUUUUCGUUGAAGUGCUUGUUCUCUUCACUACAUUUGACUCAUAUGCUAUGACUUUGAAAAGUCAAAUGCGCUUGUUCGCCUGUUGAACUUAUGGGGAUUUUUUGGAAAUAUUAGAUUAUUUUUACCAUUCCCAACUCUUUCAAGCAAAUCAAUAACCCUAGUUCAAGAUUUUCAUCUGCUAUUCCCAAAUAAUGACUGCAGUUUCUGAACGUGAAGAUUCUUCAAUGCCGACCCUUACUUCUCAGUCAAGCAAUUGUCAAGCCAUUUUGAAUCCAUACAAGUAUCCAAAAUAUCUUCAGAUUAUGGUGGAAUGUAUGAAAUGUUCUUUUCUAAAUAAAGCUUUGUCAACGGCUGAAGAGGUUCCAAGGAGAAUCGUCACUUUAGCAUUCACUACAGCAAUUGUCAACAAAGCGAACGAUACAGUUUCUUUUGAACUUCAAGGUGGGAAGCGAACAACAAUUUCUAAGACAGAUUUUGCAAAACUUUUAUGUCUUCCAACUGAAGGACCAUAUGUUACUCCAACAAGUGAAGAGCUCAUUGAUGUGUUCAAUUCUAUGGGUCAUGAACCUUAUAUGAAGAAGGUAUCUGACUUCAAAAAGAGCAGGCUUCCUGCUGUUUGGAGUCUGCUAUUUGGUUUCAUUCUUCGUGGCUUAACAAGUCGUACCGGUGGAUUGGAUGCUGGACCCAAAGAGUUAUUGUCUCUUAUGUAUGGGUUAUAUAAAGGUGUGAAUGUUGAUUUUGCUACUGUGCUUUGGAAUGAAUUUGUUGAUAGUAUCAAACAUUCAAAAAGGGCAACUGAACUUUCUGCACAUAGAUUUUGGGCCUUAAUAGUUUCUCAGGCUUAUGAAUUUCACAAAAUUCCAAUUGAUGAGUCUGAAGUUCCGAAGACGCUGAUUCAUCAAAUUAGUAUUCCAACCAAAGCUGAUCAGUCUCAUUCCUCUUUUGUUGGUCAAAUUCCUGAAGAAAUGUUAAGUUUGAUUAAAUGUCCAAGUAGGAUUUUGGAUCAAUACAGGGCUUCUCUUAUCAUUCCUUAUCCUGUUCGACCAACACCUCAACCACUACCUCAAGAAGAUGUUCAGAUUACAAGAGUUACAAGAAUGACUGCGCAGAAAAGAAAAACUCCAUUUGUUAAAGUUGAAGCUGUAAGAAAGUCAAAGCGAGUGAAGCAACCAAAGAUUGUUGAAGAAUCUGUUGUCGAAGAAGAGGAUGAGCAACAACAUCAUAGUGAUUCGAAUUUUGAAGAAGAUAUUCCUAUAACCACAACCCAGACAAUUGUCAAAACUUCUUUAGUGGAGACAAUUCCGAUAUCCGUUUCCACAACUCCAGACGAAACUACAUUGGUUGAGACAGUUCCCAUUUCAGAACCUGUUUUUGAAACUCAUAUUUCCAAACCAAUCUCUAUCCCUGAACCUCUAACCAUUUUUGAAGAAGAAGAAGAGGUUGAUAGAGUUGUGCUUAAGGCCGGGGAAGGUCCUUCUUUUGAUGAUGUUGUCGAUGAUUUUGAGAUGGCUGCACUUGGUGAAGGUUUAGUUGAUUCUGAUGAAGAGGAUGACGAAGAUAAUAAUCAGUCGAUGUCUAAAAGAGAUUUUAAGAAGUUGAAUCGUAAGCUUAAUGUUGUAUUACGGUCUCUUGAUUCCAAUACUCAAUCUGCCCAACAUUCGAAUCAAGAAAAAAUGUUUGCUGAUUGGUCGGUCAUGCUUUCUGAUCAAAACAAAAAGAUUGAUUCAUUAACGAGUGGUUUUGAUCUUUUUAAAGCCCACGUAAAUAUUGAAAUCAAUUCCCAAAUGACAAAGGUACAAGAAGUUAUGUUUAAUGAGUGCAAAAAGCUUCUUGAUGAAAUCUCGAAGAUGAGAGAAGAGAAUGAGGAGUCUUUAAACAUGGUAUUUGGUGAUCUCAAAAGUCAACAUGAAAAUUCUCUCAAAAGUCUAAAUGAAUCUCUUACGGAAGCGAAACAGAGAGAAAUUACUUUACAAAAUGAGUUGACAAAAGCGUUAGCCCACAUUGAGUUUCUUCGCUCUUACACAAGUGUUGUUAAUCCAAUUGUAUCUUUGUCACCUUUGAAACAAAGGGGUGAAGGAGAAAGUCAGGAAUUGAAUCUCAAGAUUCAAGACAUCAUUCUUACGUCAUCCAAAGGUACUUCUUCAUUUCAACCUUUGACAUCUGUUCCUGUUCCAUCUUCUGAAUAUGCCUUACCAUCUACCAUAUCAAACACUGUUGUAUUUCCUGUUUCUACCCAAUUCAUAAAGAGUAUUCCUUUCCCAUUAUCAAAAUCUCUUUUAAUUGGUUCAACUGCUGUUGCUACGAUGCCUUUAUUAGGUUCUGAACCAACUUCAAAAAGAAAAGAAAAGAUGGAAGUGCUAAGUAAGGAAGAAUUGAGACAGAGAAAAACUGAGGAAAGAAACCGUUCCCAAUUGAAUUUUGAUGCAGAGUACGUUAAAGGAGUUGCUGAAGAAGAAAAAAUGGAAGCUGAGAAUAGGGUAAAAUUGAUAAGAAGUCUGGGAUUUUCUGAAAAUAUUGUGUUUGACCUUGUUCCCAAAGAAAGCUACUCAGUCAUCAAUUCUUUGGAAAAGCAAUUUGAUUUUCCUAUAUCUCCAAGGGCAUAUGGCUAUCCUAUAAUGGGUCCAAAGACCAAUGAAAAAGUUGGUGAUUUGUCAUAUAACGAAAGACUUGUUCGUUUCUAUGCUUUUGUUGGGAAACCUUCAAAAUAUUCCUGGAGUCCAAAGAUGAUCAGAAGCGUUGAGUCUGUCAUGAAGACCGAAAGUUUUGAAAAGGUGUUUCAGAAUUUCAAGUUUGUUGUUCGGAGAGACAUUAUGGAUGAUAUUACUUUCACGAUUGCUGAUUUCCCAAAUCUGAAUCCACAUGAUUUAGUUGUUUUGCUGAAGCUUUCAAAAGAAUGGGGUUUGAAGCCAAAUUCUGUUGUGAUGCAGUCUAUCAAGGCUUUUCUCUGUUACUAUUAUAGAGACAUAGCUCGAACUGAUAUAGUCUUGGCUGGAGCUAUAAAUCAGAAAGUAAAGUUACCAAAUAAAGAUGCCGAAGGAAUUGAUAAUAUUGGUGGUGGAGAAAUGGUUACAGAACCAACAUGGGGUUCAACUUAUUCAGUUAGGGUAGCAGGUGGUAGAUCAAGGAAAGUAUUCUUCAGGAUGAAUGAGAAAGAGAGAUUCCCUAAUAAUGUGUUGGAGGGAAUGAUUCAAAGGAUUAUGUUGAAUUCUAAGAAUUCUGAACCUGAGAGAAAGAAAGCUGUGGAUAUGCUAAGGUGGUGGUUGAAGGUCAGAGAACUUUUGUUGGAAUUGGUUCCUGUUUUAUUCCCAGAAUUGAAGAAGGAUUAAUAUUCAAAGUGACAGGCCACAAAGGGGGAGAUUGUUUAGUGUCGAAGUAGUUGUUGCAGUAAUAACAGAUCCCAAAUACUCAGUUUGGAUUUUUCUGAUAAGUUUGAUAUUGUUCUUAAAGCUAAUUGAACUAUCAGUUGUACUUGUACUGUGUAUGCUAUGACUUUGAAAAAUCAAAUGCGUUUCUUUACCUGUUGAACUUAUGUGGAAUUUUUGGAAAUAUAUGCAGAGCUCUACCAAUGAUAGCAACUCAUAGUAGGUUAAAUGAUAGCAAUUCUUAUUAAGAUGCCUGCUGAAUUGGUUUAAGAAUGUAAAUGACAAUGUGGAAAAUUUCAUUGUUUAGGAGACAUUUUUCUGCUUUCCUAUGCAGGGAAACUGAAAAUUUCAGCUUUUGAUAAUGGAAUUUGAUCCCAGUUCAUCUUUAGUUAAACAUGAUAUAUAUGAUAAACCAGAAUUCCUCCGGAGACAUUUGCAUUGUAAAAUUGUUUUGUAAGAUUUCAAAUAAAUCAAAAAAUCUAAGAUUUUAAAUGAUUUGAAAGACAAAGAAGUUGAAAUAUCUCAUGUGUUUGUUUAUAAGACUUAAAAUGAUAUUGAAGGUUUUUUUUUUUUCAAAGAUUUUGAAAGAUGGUUACCAUAAACGAUAUAUGAAAACAGAGUAUAAAUUAUUUUUGAUGUUUGAUUUUGAUCGACUCAUAUUAAGUAUCCAAAAAUGCUAAUUAUUAUUAUUAUUAUUAUUAUUAUUAUUAUUAUUAUUUGUUUUUUCAUUUUGAUCAAAUCAUAACAACAAUAAGCUUGUUACCAUAGUAUACAUACCAUGCUAGAUCUUAAAUUAAUCAUCACAGAAAAGUUGAAUCAAUUUUUGUAAAAUUGAAUGCACCUCAUAAAUUUAUAACAGAUUAAUAAUAGUUCCGAAAAAUCGUAACUAAAGAUAAAAAUGUGAAGUCUGUAAUCAUUUUCUCAGUGGAUGAACUAUAUCAUUCAUAUUAUCAUCUAUCCAUAAAUAUACCACAUCUCAUAAGUACGAACCCAUGUAAUUAAAUGAAGCUCCAAAGAUAAACAUGAUUGUAAAAAGAAGCAUAGAAAUAGCUAAAUUGAUAAAGAAGAAACUUUGCACCUAGUAUAUUUUAUAUUGCAUGUAACACUAUCUAUCUCUUUUGACUUCUGAAUGUGAGGUUUAGCAAUAUUAAUUAGAUGUCCACACUCAUCCUGUGACUGUCAUAGAAAAGAAAAUGAGAAAUUGAAUAUCCUCCUACUUUUUGUUCCUACAAAUCAUCAUAUCCAAUUAAAUAGCGACAUAUGUAACAUUUAAUGCUCAUUUAAUGAAAUUUAAUGAUAUUUUAGUAUACUAAUAUUACACAAAUCAUCAUUUAAUUGGGUAAGAGGAUUUGUAGGAAGAAAAAUAGGAGAAUAUUUAAUUUCUCAAAGAAAAUAAGUUUCAGUUUGGCGUAUGUUCAAGAACUAAAAAUAUGCCAUGGAAUUUGUUACAGUAAAAUGAUUUCAUUUCAUAACAUCAACAAUAUCACUGUCAAUGUUAGUAAUUAUUUAGGAAAUUAUUUAACUAACAGUUCCUUGAUUUUAGCUAAUCAUAUCAAUAUUAUAAUUAUACACUAUUAUUUAUGUAAAUAGAGAUCAAUUUAUGGAUAUACAUAAGAAAUGUCACACCCCGAACCAGACGGCGGAAACGUCCGACGGCGGGUGACUUCAUUUUGUAAUAUCAUCACACAUGUAUAUAAAUGAAUCAUAGACAACAUCAUCACCAUACAUAAAACAUAACAACCAUUGUAGUUUACAUCAUUGUAACUGUAUGAAAAAUUACAUCCAAAAAUAUCGAGUAUGGUGAGAACAAAGAAAUACAGUAAAAUUCUUCAUUCCUUAUCAACCAACCUGUUUUAUCGAGUUCCCGAGAAUACAAGUUAUUUUGAAAACGUUAACAUAUAUAAUGUUGGUGAGUUCAUAAGUAAGUUUGUAUGAAAAACCUUGUAGUAGUUUGUAAACACCAGAAAAUCCGAUAUUUUCUAUAAAAAUAGUUUGUGAGUUUUGUUCCGAUCUUGUAUUAAAGCAUGUGUGUUCUUGUUUGAUGAUGUAUAAAGAGAGUUUCCCAAAAAAUCUUAUAUUUUAUGUAUAAUGAAAAAGUGUGGUCUUAACCCCAAGACCGGAGUAAUGAAAAUGUAUAGUUCGUACUUUGUAUCACGAAAGGAGUAUAUGUAUUCCGUAAGUUUAUUUGUUUGUUAUUCUCUAUGUGAGUCGUUAUAACCGUGGUUGAUGUGACUGUUAUGCCUGUCAUGACGUUCUUCAGGCGUCACUUGUUUAAGGUAAGACAUUUGUCACCCUAGACUGACCCGUUUAGCUGUAGCGAACAACUCAGGUACGGGGGUGUCAACCUCAUAUAGAUCUAUACAUAAAUUAUCGCUCUCCCUCUAGGAGACUUUGGUUAUAACUACAGAACUUAUGAUGUACACUAGGUAGGUACGAAUGAAGGCGUGUCUCACAAGAGCCUUAACUAAAUCUACGCGAAUAGUGUGUCUCGUUGUUUAAUGCUUUAAGUAAUGUUUCAAAUAUGUAUUUUGAAUACAAAUCAUCGGUGAUAAAAAUAUAUUUGUUCAUAUCAAAACAUCAUAUAUGUAAUGUUAUCGACCCGGUUAACAUGGAAUGUGUCGUAUAGGUCCAAUAAGCAUGUAGAUGAGUAUACAAGCCCAUUAAGCGUAUAAAUGAGUAUUUAAGCCCAUUAAGCGUUUAAAUGAGUAUUUAAGGCCCAACUUGAGUAAAAUGUCGUAAAGAGUUCCUUCGUUAUCAAAAUGAUCAUUUUGGCUUCAAAAAAAAAAUCCAAAAUGACUUAGAAGGCCCGCUUUUAUUAAAAUGACAUUUUAGGCCCAUUAAAGCCGAAAGUUUGCAAAUAAGGCCCAUCUUUGUUAGAAAUGGCAUUUUAGACCCAUUAAAACCAUGAAAGCCCAAAAGAAGACCAUUUUGUAAAAAAUAACACUUUUGACCCCUACAAAACCGUGAAUUUCAUAAAAACCCAUUUUUAUCCAAAAAUGACUCUUUUGGUCCUCUCAAAACCGUGAGUUAUCAUAAAAGGCUCACUUUUUGUUUAUUUGUCAAAUAUGGGCCUUCAUUAGGUUUUCUUUAGUUUUCAAGUAUCCUUUAACAUGUUUUAUCUUUUCAACAUCAUAAUGAGUUACAUAAAGUAACUUGUUUUCCUAAGAUCUUCAAGACUUGGAGAUAUAUCGAGCUCAUGAGUAUUAAACAUAGUUUCAUAACAUUUACACAAAAUAUCAUGAAAAUACACACAAGCAUGCAUAAAUACUUAGAUUUAACACAAAACCAACUUGUAUUCUCCCCCAAAAGUUAGUAAAUCAUGAAAAGGGAGGGGUAUAAAGCUCACCUUGGGUGAUGGAUCGGUUUUGAUGAAGAAAUGAAAGAGAAUGAAGGUGUUUGCGACCUUGGAUGUUUCUUUGACAUAAGUUUUCGAGCUUAGGGAGUUCUAGGAAGCAAGAAUCAUGAAAUGGAGUGUUUAAGAGUGUGAAUCUUAACAUGAAAUGGAAACAAACCAAUUGAGAGUGAUAAUAACUUAACAAACUUAAUGAUUCUUGAAGUAGAAGCCUUGAAUUUACUUAAGCACCACACGAUUUUUAGAGAAAGAUGGAAGGGAGUUCUUAGUGUUUUAGAGAGAUAUGGGAGGAUUUUUGUUGUUUGAAGGGGAAAAGAAUAAUGAAGGCGAUGGAGGGGUGGCCCUCGGCCGAGAAUAAGAAGAGAAGAGAGAGGAGGUGGUGUGGUUUUUACAUGGUGGUCUUAAUUUGGUGCAUGGAGACAUGUUAGAUAACGACAUUGUUAUUUGAUGGUUAUUAGUGAGGUGUCACCUUACUAAUCACCAUUUUUUAAAAAACCAAGAAUGGGAGGAAAGAAAAGAACAUGGGUCUUGGGCUUGAUAAAGCAUUGGACCAUUAGAGAAUUUCGAUCCAUGUGGGCCCACUUAUGAGUUUACGGCCCAAAUGUGGUGAAUGAAAUGGGUUUUCGGCCCAUGAAAAACAAAUGAAUGUUUUUCGGCCCAAUAAGGCCCAUGAAGGGUCUUAUGGCCCAAAAUACUAUUAUUUAAGGGAUGUGGGUCCAACUAGGGUCCAAAUGAGCAUUCUUGGCCCAAGGGAACCAAGUUGAGGGUUCACUGGCCCAUUAGGACCAAUAAGAGAAUCCUGGUCUAAUAAGAGGUUUGAACCGGGAAGUUAGGGUUUCAAGCUCAAGAUUGGGUGAAUGCAGCGUAUUAAAUUAGGUUUAGGGCUUGCACAAGUGAAUUUUUUAUUCAAAUUGUCGUUUUUGAAUGAAUAACAUGUAUAACAUAAUACUUAGGGUUACAAGAAUUCAACAAAAAAAUUACACAUGGACAUAAUUUCCUAGCCUUAAAAUACUAGUUGUGACAAGAAAUGACCGAAUUUUGAGUUGGCAUUAUUAAUUGGAUUAUUAAUUAUUAUAAUGGUAUGUCUUAAUUACAUUAAUCAGGUGUGAGACUCAUGUAUUAUAUGGGUUCAUUUGAAAGAAAAUAUAAAGAUAAAAUUCAAAAUAAUUAAGAAGUUUGAAUUUAUAAGAAAAGUAAGAAAAAUAUUGAAUUAUAAAAAUUAAAGUGUUUAUUUUUCUCUUUUCAAUUUAAACAAAUAAUUUAGAUAAAUAAAUAAAGAAAAUUAGUGAAACUUUAAUUUAGUAAUUUUGAAGUUAGAAGGAAAGUCCAUUAAUGAAAUUGAUAUGCAUUUAUUAUUAGAUUUUAAUAAUAUGUGAAAUUUAAUAAAAUAGAAAAAACCUUAAAAAAAACAUGUGGAAUAAAAUUUAAUUUAAAUAAUCAUAAAAUUACGUGUGACAAAAUAAAUAAGAAUAUGACAUGUGGCAAAAAGAUCUUUAUUUAUUAGGGUAGAUAAUGUGGCAAUAAAAAGAAAAUGAAAAUAAUAAUAACAUAACUUGUGGAAAUAAAAUUACUCUAAUAUUGAGAAAAUUACAUUUGUCAAAAUCAAUGUGAGAAUGACAUGUGGCAAAAAAAAUUUAAUUUAUUAGGGUACUAGUUGUGAGACUCGUAUGUUAUAUGGGUUGGAUAAAAAAGAUUAAAUAUGAUGUUUAAACAAAAAUUUAUUUAAAUUUUAAGUUUUAAAAUUGAAUUUAAAAGGAAACAUAUUAAAUACUAUAUGAGUUGUAAUAUUGUAAUUUAUUGGCUAUUUUCAAUUAAGGCAAUUAUUAAUUAAGGUGUAAAUAUUAUGUGUUAAUUAAGAAAAGAUAAAAAAAAUGAGAAAAUGACAAAUGGAUAAAACAUUUAUUCAAAAAUACCAAAUACUGACAUAUGUCUAAGUUAAUGAGAGAGUGACAUGUGACAAAAUUAUUUCCAAGUUAAUUCGGAUUAGGAGGAGCACCGUAUACCAAGCAUUUGCGAUAACAAGCAUUUCAGUAAUCAUAUACAGAGGAGAGCGGAUUGUUAUCUGGUCAACAAUCACUAGAGGGUGGAACACCAAAUCUGCUAAAAUCAACCUCAUGCCUAAUCACAUCAUAACCAUGUUGUAGCUGUGCUAACCUUCAAUCGAUUACUUAAAUCAGAAAAGGAGAAAGCAAAAAACUUGUGUGAAAGAACUGUAGAUAAUCCAUAUGCAUCGAUUUCAUGUAAAGAAUUCAGACCAAAGGUGUUGUGUCGUCUGUCGUAGAAGAUGACUCCAUAGCUUGGAGAAGAAAACAGUCAGCGGUUUCACGUUUCGAGCGAUUUUAAUUCGUAAGAAAGCAGUCAGAUUCCCAUGCUUCACCGUCGGCAUCCCACAUUGAUGGAGUUGUGAACAAAAAAUGAAGGUUACAAGUUUGGCAUCCCACAUCGCUGGUGGGACAAAAAAUAAAGGCACGCAUAUCUUAUAAAAGGACAUAGGUUCCUUAAAAAGUUAAACCCAACUACUCGGUGGGCUAACCGGUUCUUUUGAGCCCAUGGUUAGCUGGACUGAUUUGGCCUUGGAUUCCGAGUUAGACUGAUUUAGUCCGAUUUGGACCGGUUUUGACUGAUAUUGACCAAUGCCGACUAUUUUACCCUCUAACCCUUGUUCGUAGGCGGUUGGUGGCCAUGAAGCGCCUAGNNNNNNNNNNNNNNNNNNNNNNNNNNNNNNNNNNNNUUGAGAUUUAACCUCAACUACAUAUUAAUCAUUUGCCGCUCUAGCAUUCUGGCGUAUUGACACGGCGGGAGAGUUAUAAUUAUAAAUGAUUAUACAAUGUCGCAUGUUCCUUCUUCCUCGCCACCAAAUUUGCCACCAACCGACCCCACCACUGUCACCUCUACCACCACCACCUAUGCCACCACCAUCUUCUCUGCCACCAACCUCCAUAAUCAUAUAUGAUUAAUUACUUUGUAAACAAACAUAUAUGUAUAAUCAUUUAUGAUUUGACAUAUAUGUAUAAACAUGUAUAAUCAUAUAUGAUUAUAUUGUAAUAUCCCAAGCAUCAUGAUAAAAAUGUUUAUUUUUAAAACCAUUUAAUAACCUAUAAGUCUUACAAAAAAAUGUUUCCAAAAAGUUAUAACCAUAAAUCAGAUUAUCCCAAAAAUCAUUUAUCAAUAAAAUUUCCAAGGAUGAUGUGCACAAUCAUGCAUUCACCUAGCCCCGAUCAUCUGAUGUACCUGAAACCAUGAAACUAAACAGUAAGCCAAAGCUUAAUGAGUUCCCCUAAAAUACCAAACGUAUCAAGACAGAUAAAACAUGCAAUGGGUCCAAUCAGUCAUCUGACUAGAAUACCAUAGCCCAAUCAAUCAUCGGACCGGAAUGCCAUCAUGCAACGAGUCCAAUCAGUCAUAAGACUAGAAUGCCAUCAUGCAACGAGUCCAAUCAAUCAUCAAAUUGAAAGGCCAUCAUGCAACGGGUCCAAUAAGUCAUCUGAUUGGAAUACCCUAUCCUAUUGGCACACGCACAGAGCAGUAAAGCCUCACCCAAAACUUCACUAUGUCAACAUAUGCAAUAGACAAACAUAUAACCAACAAACAUAUAAUCAUGCAGAUAUAACAGAUAACUACAUCGUAGCAACGUCCUAUAUAUUGGGAUACAUAACCUAGUGGGUAAGCAUUGGUGCCUUCGACUCAAGAGUAUAGUGAGGAAAACUCACGUGAACAAUUCAACAGAAGCCUAAUAGCUACCACAACAACAAAACAUCCAACCCAGGCUUCGUAAAGCCAAACCAAAACCAAUCCUUAGCCAAAUGCUCAAUUCUACUCAAGUUUGACCAAAAGUCAAAUUGGUCAAAAAGUCAAUGUUCAAAGUCAAAGUGAAAAUUUCCAACCACCAACCUUCUACAUCGUGGCCUUUCUUGGCUACGUUGUAGGCACAAAAUGCAGAAAUAGUCGCUGAUUCCCCAAUCGUCAUGCCGUGGCAGCCAAAAGCCACACCGUGGGGACUGGUCUGAACAACCCAAACAAGCUUAAUCCAUUUUCUUCCAAUUUCAAGAGCUCCAAAGCCCAAAUAUGGUUCUUUCCAAGGUCUUAGUGGAUAAAGUUUCUAACUUUAUCCAUUAGGAAGGUCCAAACCACCAAGAUCUAGAAUUUAAGUCUCAAAGGGAUCCGAAAAUGCAUCUUUCUCGACUUAAUCCAUUAAGUCCAAGUCUCCCACUUUCAGAUCUGAAUCAACAAGAUGUAUAGAGGGAUAAAGUUUCCAACUUUACCCAUAAUAAUGCCACAAUCAUUCAAUAUUUAAACUUUAAUACACCAAAAUGGCCUAAAGGACCAAGAUAACUUGCAUGGCUAAAAAGGAAGGCAAAAGAUCAUAACUUUCCUAGUCCACAAGGUCCAAGAAAUAUUCCAAAUUGAUCAAAUGAUGUUGGAGUCCACUCAACUCCAUUAUCACCCAUAUAAUGUGAAACGUCCCAAAAACAUGAUCCAAAAAUUUCAUUUUUAAUUUAAUAAAAUAGUAUUCCAAAACAUUAUCCCUAUAACCCAAAAGAAAAUAAGUGUAUCAAAUAUCAUAUCAAUCAGAGUAAUAUCUCAAAAGCGGAAUCCAUAUAGUGUGUGCGACGCAGUCAUACUGAGCUCUUCCCUUAGAAACCAGAAGUACCUGAAACAUAAACUAAAAACCGUAAGCACAAAGCUUAGUAAGUUCCCCAAACUACCCUAUACCAUACAUAAUAAAUCACAUACUGGGCCCCCGCCCGACAUCGAGCCCCGCUCGGUAUACAUAUAUGUUAGUCUUAGGCCUCGCCUGUCAUUAGGCCUCGUCCACUAUACACGUACAAUAUAUAUCACAUAAUCAUUCUAACACAUAUAAUGAUCAUAAAAAAAUAGCAUAUGUUUUAGUCAUUAGGCCUCAACCGGUAUACAUAGCAACACAUAACACACGUAAGGAUAAUGCAGACUCCUAGCAUCCUAACAUAAACAACAGGGGCCAACAUUGGUGCUUUAGACCUGCUAAACCCAGUGAGGAAACUCACCUCAACUGCCGAAUCUCACUGCAAAACCCUAGUUGCUGCCCUAACGAAUCCCCGGGAUGUCAAUAAAAAAUAGCACCCAAUUAAUAUUUGGGUUCCAAUCCAUAACCAUAAGUCCAACAAUCCAUACUUGGGGUAAAAAUACCAUUUUACCCUUCACCUAUUUUAGCCCAAGGCUAAGGCCCAAACUCAAUAUCUAAAAGGCCCAAAACCAAAUAAUCAACCAAGACCCACUUAUGGCCCAAUUUUCCAAAUUGGGCCCAAACCCAUUUAUGGGCCUUACCCUAAAGCCCAACAAUUUUCCUAGUCUAAACUCUUAGCCUAAAAGCUUGAUUCCAGGUGGCCCACUAAGUCCCAAAGCAACAAAUUCCAAAGAAAUGACUCAAUCGAGGUCCAAAAGUCGCAAAACCCAACAGACUGAGUACGUUGGGCGUACUCAGCUGUACUCUAAGCAUACAUGCAACUUGGGUUGUACGCCGCACUUAAUGACUUGUACAUCCAACGUACUCAACCAUUAAGCCAAAAUCAACCUUAAGAACUUAAUGCUUACGACUAGAAGCCCAAACCACAUAUCCAAGUCCUAAUAAGCGUUUAUUACCAUAAAGUCACUAACUUGGUGACUUUGCAUGCCCCAUAAAGACCCAACUCCAAAAUAUAACACCCUACUUUCAUCAAAUGGACAUAAACUAUUGCAUGGAUGAAUCUAAACCUUAAAGGAGGAAACUUUAUGCAUCUAUAACUUCAGAAACACCAAGAGUGGCAACUCAAAGCUCCCGGAGCGGUAUUAAACCACUAGUUCUCAUUCUUAGGGCCAAAAGGGACCAAAACACACAAAUGAUAGAUCUAAGCCACUAAUGAGAAAGUUCAUAGCUUUUUACCUCAAACAAUCUGGAAAUGAAGUAAAUAAACGAGGUCCACAAGCUCCACUACCUUGCACCAACCUUCUACUUCUUGAAUAUGAACCAAAACCACCAAAAUGAAUACAAUGAGCUCAAAACACAAAGGAGAGGCUUAGGGUUUCAUGCUUGAUGCUAUAGGGACAAUGGAGGUUGAGAAAUAAGGGUUUCAUGGUCCAUAAUGAUGUUUAUAUAUUUCCCAACCUUGAAAAUUAGGGUUUCUAAAUGACUCACAUACGCCCCGCAUACAUACACAUACACUCAACGUACAUGUCCAAAGUCUCGAUCCCACCUCGCAUGAGUAUGCUAAGCGUACCAUGCGGUACGCCCCACGUACAACUCAAGGACCAAAUAUGCAACAUUAAUAACAAUGAGGGUGUUGAGAGAAAAACUUGAGACACACUUGAACAAACGUUAGAACAAUUAUAGUUGCAGAAUAGUUAAUCUCAAACGAUCUAAAAGAUCAAAAAUAAUAAGCUAACGAGUUAGAUAGUUAGAUAGUUAGUUGCGGAAAUGUAAGGAAAUAUAAAUGACAGCAGGUGAUAUAUCAAGUAAACACAUAAGUUGAUUCAUAACAUGGAAUGCAUUCAAACCAAGUUAUUGAGAGAGAUCAAGUUUAGUGAUAAAGUCAUGAAUGAGUUGCUCCGAAGAGGAAUAAUAUUUAGUUAUGAUCUAGAGGAUUUAGAGAGUAAGAAGAGAUAUGAGAUGCGUAAUAGAGAGAUGUAAUAGAUACACUUGAAGAUUGUUCAGAUAGAUAUUUUUAAACUGUGAAAGAAUGAGCUCUAUAUAUAGAGACUCAAGAAUUACAUUUGAUCAACUCUCUAAGAGUAGCCAUGCAAGGCAUACUGGACGAUAGAGAUUAUUACAGAAAAGAUAGAUAAAAUUAAACUAAGUAAAGUAAGUAUGACUACGGUUGGAUAAAUGACUUCGGAUUAGGCUGCUGAUGAUAGCUUGACUGUGGAUCCUUGAGGGCUGCGGUAGACUAAGUUAAGAGGGUCACUUCAUGAUUCAACAAUUUCCCCCUAAAUGAUCUCUUUAACUUUUCUUCACCUAUCAAGUUUAAUGAAAUUGAUCAGAAUCCACCAAAACUUCCUGAUAUUUUCCAACCAGGUGAUCCUUCUUAAAAUCUCGAACUUGACUUCGGCAGUCGUGUGUUUUGAUUUUUCUACUGCGGUUCGACAGAUUUCAAGUUGCUUCCUUGUAAGACGAUUCAUGGAGGUCAUGUGAAUGAAGUAUUUGACUUGAUCAACCUUCCUUUUGAAGAUGACCCCAAGUUCAGGGAAGUUUGUUGCACCUAGGGAUCUUUCUUGAUAACCAUCGGUAGGCAUUGGUGCAGGAUCUAGUGGUGGUAGAUCGAACUUCUUGGAAAUUGUUGGGUAGAUGUCCGCAUCAAUCUUUGCGAAGUCGCAGACUGUUUCCUUCAGAAAAAUGCUUGCCCUUUCAAGCAUUAUCUUCAUUUUUGGAUACUUUUCACACUUGUUUUGGAACACCUUUGCUAUUAGAAAUACUUCUUCUGGGUUCAUACAUGGGAAGUCAGCUUGGGUGCGGACAUAGUCCUGAUUACUUCUAGUAAGUGUGUAUUGAACGAAGUCAUCCUUCAUGAAUUUCCGGGGUUUGAAGUUCUUGACUGCGGAUGGUCUAUCGUUAGACCAGAUUUUCUCUAUGGAAGAGGCAUGUUUGGCAUGGAAACGAUUGAGUCUCUCAAAUUCCAUAGGCAGUCUUCUGUGAUCCGGUAGGCUACUGUCAAAUUGCUCAAAUACCGUGAAGUAUUUAGCAUUUGGGGAGAUUAGAACAUCCCGAUAUCCAUCAGAGGGGGGUUCAGCAUAGGUAAGGUAGGGUUUGCAGUCAUCGUCCAGUAGUCUGCGGUGGGGAUUGAUCCAAGAGUUUAUCAAGGAUUCAUCCAUGACAGUUUCAAAACCGCAUUCUCUCCAUACGAGUUCAGCAAACUUAGCUGUUUUCCAGUAAUCUUUCUUCUGUUUUGUGACGGGAGAGUCAUUGGAGCUUGCUGAAGACAUGUCAGGAGCUAGAUUCUUGAAGUGAAGGGGAGUCUCAGGUCGUUCAGGAGAGGGAACGAUUUUUUGUUGCGGUGGAGGUGACUGAUUGCUUGGACUCUUGUGAGGAGAUGGUUGCGGUGAAGGAAUUUUCUUAGUUGUGUAGGGGGGACUUCUAUGAUGAGAAUCACUGUUGGAUUGAUGGUCUUCUUCAUUAUGAUCUUCUUCACGAUGGUCUUCUUCACUUCCCCCUCUUGAAGAGUUCAGACUCGGAGUCUCCUCAAGCCAUUGUUUGAGACCAUCGACCUUGGCACACACCUCCUAAAAUUGAGCUUUGAGAACGUCAGCCAGUUGCUGAUUGUCUGGGAUGGUGGUGUUGAAGAGUAGGCGAUGAAUCUCCUUUGUAAGAUGUAGAAUUUCAGGACCAAGGAAAUUGGACGAUAGGGAUCGUUGAAGUCUGUUGAUGGUUGUAUGAAAGACUGAGAUAGUGGACUCAUAAGCAGUGUGAGUCUCAGCUAUCAGUUUCUGUGAAAGAGUGGAUUGGUCCGCAAUGGCUGUUUGCAGAUUUUCUUUGAUUGCGGAUACCUCAAAGAUGAGGUGCUCCGCAACAGCCAUGAAUUCCUUGUGAUAUGCUUGUCGAUGGACUGAAUCCCCAUUUCCACUUUGAGAGAAAUCCUCUCAGCAGCUAGACGUUCCCUAGUCUCCAAUCUUUCAAUCCUUUCGAUCAAGGACUGCGGUACUGGAUGGUCUUCAGAUUGCGGUUGAGUGGACUCGACCGCGGCAAGAAUUUGAUCUACUUUGGAUUGUAGAUUCAAGAAUUCUUUUCUAGACACAACCAUCUUCUUCUUUUUCUUUUUCUCCUUGGGCUUAGAGGUUAAGUGUUGAGAACCACUCGAUUCCUCUUCUUCAUCAAACAUCAUUAGGUCAUCAUCCGAAGGGCUAGGCUGAUUUACCUUAUUUAGAUCAACAUCAUCAAAUCCGAAGGUGGGAGCAGAGCUGACUUCUAUUGCGGUGCCUUCGUCUUGAGAAUCUUUAGCAGUUGGAGUUGGAGGGGGCUUUGAAGGAAUUUGAUCAGCAGUCGCAUCUUGAGCUUUGCGGAUUGUAUCAGCCACAUCGUCCAUCAAAGCUUGAACUUUGUAGAUAGUAGAUCCAGUAUUGGCAUUAUUGAUUACGUCUGCCCAAUACUUCGCUACAGACUGAAUCUCUUGUUGUUUCUGUUGAAGUUGCUUUGUUUGACGUGCCUUUCUUGCUUGAAAUUCCCUAUGGAAAGCGGAAUAUUUCUUGGCUUCGGCUUCAUUUGUUGGUUGAUACUUACUCCAUGAAUCGUUGAGGUCAAUUUCAUCAAUUCCUUCAAAACGCACCAAGGUGUCCCUUGGGUUCACGGAUCCUUGCACAUUGGUGCUCACCGUGCCUAGACCACCUGUAACAGAUGUAAGCAAAGUAGGAUUUCCAGAGCUUCCUCGGUCUCCUUGACCUAGGGUGAAGUCUGGCCUUAGCUCAGUUCUGGCAAAGGCUGAAGAAUCGCCUUGCGGUUGGGAAGGUGUUUGAAGGGUUUGGGUAACAAACAAAAGAAUGGAUUUCAACUCCUCAGGGGAAAAGAAGUGUAGACGGGAAGCCCUGGAGACCUUAGGGCGGGAUCCAGUUCCAUCCUCUUGGGAUUGACCUAGGGGAGAGUCUCCACGUUGCAGUGAAACAGACGCACCAUCUGCGUCGGAGUGGUAUUGGAUGGUUGAUUUGAAUGGGUGUGCGGCCACCCCAAGGACUACCGGAGCCUUUUGAGAGGCUGCGGUAUCAGUACGGUCACACAUUUGGCCUUUGGGAUUGGUUUUUCUUUUCUUGAGGAUUGAGAUGGGUUAAUCGUCCUCAUCAAAAUCACUACUAGAGGGAGAGGGAGAUUUAUGUUUGCCUGGUUCGACAUUUGUGGGCACAUAUUGGAUGAUUUUUCUUUUCUUUGAAGGAUUAGCUUGUUUGGGAGCAUCCUUUUUCUUAGGAAUGCCUUGUUUCUUGGUGUGGCAGGGGCCUUGAUGAGCUGAGGCUAACUGCUUACGUCUUUAUGAUAAAGACAAGUUGGAAAGAGUGGUGGAAGAUGGGACUGCGGUACUACCAGGGACAGUGAUUGCGGAUGGGGUUUGUAGAGGCGGGGUAGGAAGGUAUGGGGCAAUACCUUCCGUAGCCUCAAUAUGGUCUGAGACAGUAGAAGUUUCAAGAACAAGAGUAGAGAGAAUGUGGGUUGGUAGUCGUCUGAUAGGUCCAAAAGCAGAUUGAUCAGAAGAGGGAUUGUACCUUUUGAGAUCUUUGGUGAUAAAGAGAUUGAUGUCGUUACCCAUGCUAAGUCCUGCAUCCGCAUGGAGAUCUGAUAUGCAUAGAGACCAGAACCUGGAAAACGUGAGUUCGGUAUGGUUCUCUCUUGGACUUUUCUUGGGAAUGUAUUACAAGAAGUCGUCCCAUAGAAUCUGACCGUAGUUGACAUCAUGGCCAUUGAAGAUGCUCCACACUAAUUCCAGGAGCUUGAGACCCAUAUUAUCCAUGCCUCCGGUUCUGUCGGACAGGCUGCGGAUCACAAAGUGGAAAACAAAUUGCCAUACUGGAGGCAAUUGAUUUUUCUUGAAUUCUCCUAUGCCUUUGAUCUUCUUUUGAUAACCCAUCUAGUAAAGUGCAGAAAGGAUGUCCGCCAUGCUUGGAGUGAAAACCUUGAUUGAAGCAUGAACAAGGAGGUUGAUGGCAAUGAGAGACUUUUCUUUAGUCAGAAUGACCAAAGAAUCAUUUACUAAGUUUAGAUGCACUUCUUGAGGAUUUUUGAGAGGUCGAUACGCUGAGAAAGCACAUUUGAAAAUGGUUGAAAGUGGAACCACAUCUGUGAUUGAAUCGAAGGGUCCAAACAGUGGGUGAUUGGACAAAAACUUGAUCAUCAACUUUGUUGGAGCAUUAUAGAAGGAUUGCUCUUCGAACACAACCCUAAAAUUGAUCGAGGCAAUCGUUGGCGUUGGGUGUCUUGAAGCAGAGUCAGAACUAGUAGGGUUUACUGAUCCAAAUGCCUUGGAGUGUUUCUUGGAGAUGCCUGAUUUCACCAUUGUUAGGAGUUGAAGAAGCUUUGCAAGAGAAAAACAGAGUGCAAGAAAAGGUUCGAGGUUCAGAAAGUGUAAACGUUUCUUAGGGAAGAAGGAGGGUUUUAUAGUGGCUAAUUUGGAGCGGGAAACGAUUUUACCCUAAGUGAAAUUAGGUAAAACGUUUGGGUGUUUUUCUUGGAUUAGGAGAGAUAAUCUCAGCCACAGAUUAAGAAAAAGGUUUAAUCUAUAUUUUUGAGAUUUACCAAAAAGGGUUGGCAUUUAAUGAAAUGUCAGGCUUCAACACCACGUCUGAAGAACGUGUGGUGAGGGUGGGAUUAAUCCGUUGUGUAAAGGGGAAGUUGUAAUGGAUUAGAAGUUUUGGGGUAAUAGGAAGAGACAGUUUAAAAAGGAUUUGAUUUUGGGAAAUCGUUAUUUUUGUCAUCAUACCAAAAUAGGUCUGACAUGAGGUUUAUUCAAAAAGAAUGGGACAGUUACACAAAGAAUGUUUUUUUAAUGUUUUCUCUAUUUAAUGAAGGAUCAUUAAAUAGCACACCAUGAUUUAAAAAAAAUGAAACAGUUUGAAAAUCAAUUAAAGUGACUGUGGAUUAAAACUUCAUUGCGGCUGGAUCAUUUGCCAUCGGAUGGAUGACUACGGUAGAAGAACUGAGGAGAGCACUUGAAUAAAGAUUAGUAAUAACAAACAGUAAGGACCAUUAAAGUAUAAGUAUGAUAUAUGGUUGCGGUACAUCGGAUAUAUCAAAGCCAUCUAUCAUAGAUAACUUCAACUAGGACCGCAACAGAGACCAAGGAUGGUCUGCGGUACCUAUCAAUUCAAAAAGAAUUAUGGGUCCGGAUUCAUCAUUCCUAACAUUUGUAAGAAAUUGUUGAAUUUUGUAGAGUCAAGUUCCUUUGUGAAUACAUCAGCAAUCUCUUCAUGAGUAUGGACAAAAAUUGGUUCAAUGUUACCUUUCAGGAUGUGGUCUUUGAUGAAGUGAUACCGUAGUUCAAUAUGCUUGGUCUUGGAGUGCUGAAUUGGAUUGUGAGAAAUCGCUAUAGCACUUUCAGAGUCACAAUAGAUUGGUAUCCGCAACAUUCUGUAUCCGUAGUCCAAUAGUUGUGUUUUCAUCCAUAAGACUUGUGAGCAACAACUGGCUGCGACCACAUAUUCAGCUUCUGCGGUAGACAAUGACACACAAUUUUGUUUUCUUGAUGACCAGUUGACGAGUCUUCCACCUAAAAAUUGACAUCUACCCGAGGUGAUUUUACGAUCCAGUUUACAUCCGACAUGAUCCGCAUCUGUGAAUGCUUGUAGGCUGAAGUCGUUCCCUGCGGGGUACCAUAAGCCAAGAGUCUUGCUACCCUUUAAGUACCGUAGAAUUUGCUUGGCUGCGGUCAUGUGUGACAUUUUCGGGUCAGCUUGGUACCUUGUGCAUACACCCAUUGCAAAGACUAUAUCUGGUCGGCUUGCAGUGAGGUACAUCAAAGAGCCAAUAAUACAUCUAUAAGUCUUGUGAUCAACUGAUUCACCCGAGGGAUCAGCAGAUAUCUUAUAUCUGAAGGCCAUGGGGACUUUAGCCGAAGAACAAUUAUCCAUUGAAUAUUUCUUUAACAGUUCAGAGGUGUAUUUAUCCUAAUGAAUGAAUAUCCCUUGAGGGACUUGUUUCACUUGAAGUCCUAGAAAGAAGUUAAUCUCUCUAUUCAUGCUCAUUUGGAACUUGUUGGUCAUGAGCUUAGCGAAUUCAUUUACCAUCUUUUGAUCAGUUGAGCCAAAAAUGAUAUCAUCCACAUAUAUUUGUACAAGCAUUAGAUGAUCACCAUUUGCUUUUCUAAAUAAAGUGGGAUCAAUCACUCCUCUUUUGUAUCUAGACGAGACAAGAAAUUCAGAGAGAGUCUCGUACCAUGCUCUUGGGGCUUGUUUUAGACCAUAGACUGCUUUUUCAAGCUUGUAGCAGUGGUCUAAGAAUUCAAGACUUCCGAAACCCGGAGGUUGCUGAAGAUAGACUUCCUCUUUUAAUUCGCCGUUGAGAAAAGCACUUUUCACAUCCAUUUGAUGAGUCUUGAUGUUCUUGUGUGCUGCGUAUGCUAAGAAGAUCCGGAUGGCUUCCAUUCGUGCUACCGGAGCAUACGUUUCAUCAUAGUCAAUACCUUCAAGUUAACUAUAUUCCUUGGCAACUAGUCUUGCCUUGUUUCUUAUGACCGCACCAAAUUCAUCCAACUUAUUCUUGUACACCCAUCUGGUACCUACAAUGGUGUGACCUUGUGGUUUUGGAACGAGCUACCAUACUUUGUUUCUUUUGAAUUCUUCUAGCUCUUCUUGCAUUGCGGAAAUCCAGUCUGGUUCUAGUAAUGCUUCUUUGAUCUUUUGGGGUUCGACCGAGGAUAGAAACGUUGCGUAGUGACAGUGAUCAGAUAAGUCCUUGAAUGAUUGAGUCUGGAUUCUUGCGGAUGGGUUGCCGAUGAUUUGACCUGGCGGGUGGUCUCUCGUCCUAACAUGCAGAUAGGGUUGCAGAUGAUCAACAGCUGCGGUGGAGGGAAUAUCUUCAAUAUCAGAAGACUCUGCGGUUGGAGAAGGCAGUUCCCCUGGAUUUGAGAACAUCCAGCUGAAUUGUCUUGAACUGGGAAGGAGGGAUCAGAGUUUUCUUGGGCAGAUGGUGACGGUUCCUCCUGGAGUGCAGACGGGAGUUCCUCUUGAACCUGCGAAGGUUCCCCCUGGAUUGCGGAUGGGAGUGUGAUAAUCCUUGAACCUGUUCUUGUGUCAAUGUUUUCUAUGUUUUCAUCAUCCGAAUCUGAAGAAACGUUUGAUGGUUAAAACUCCCUACGGAUUGGAGCUGCAUCUUCUAGUACUGGAACCUCGAUGGUUGUUGCAUGGUCCGGAGUUGAGUUUUCCCCCUCAAACGGCGAGGUGGAAGUAUUUAGAGAUACUUCAUCGGACAGUGUUGGACCAGAUACGUCAGCAUGCUGCUACUGAAGUUCUAGGGAUACAAGGACUUCAGAUAACUUGGCUGUAUCUACCGGAUCGAAGAGAUCGUCAUAGUUUACUUCAACUAGAUUUAAUGGACCCGAAGAGACAGGAAUAUCACUUUCUAGAAUUGUUGUGGUUUCAGUUGAUGGAGCGGUGUUGCGGAUGUGAUAGUCAUCAAAUUUCACAUCGAAGCUUUCAAUUAUCAACCUUGUGCAUAUAAUGAGAACUCCAUAAACAACCUUGUUAGUGGAGUAGCCAAGGAAGAUGCCUUCAUCAGACUUUGGUGCGAAUUUGUUGAGAUAGUCUCUGUUGUUGAUUAUGAAACAUCUACACCCAAAUAUAUGAAAGAAUCAGACAUUUGGCUUGCGGUUGUUAAGGCCCUCAUAUGGUGUUUUCUUGAGACGUUUGCACACAAUGCUUCGGUUUUGUACAAAAUAGGUUGUGGCCACUGCUUCGGCCCAGAAGUAGAGAGGAAGGUGUGCAAAGUUGAGCAUAGAUCUGGCAGCUUCUACUAGAGUGCGGUUCCUUCGUUCUACUACCACAUUUUGUUGCGGUGUGUAAGGAGCUGAGAAGUUGUGAGUAAUGCCUUUGGAAACCAAGAAACUAUUUAGGAGAUGGUUAGUAAACUCGGUUCCAUUAUCACAUCGGAUACGUCUAACUGGUAACUUGAUCUGAAGUUCAAUUUCCUUGAUCAAGUUGAUCAACACCUGCGGUGUUUCUGACUUGAGUCGAAGAAAGAAGACCCAUGUGAAACGUGUGAAGUCAUCCACUAUGACCAAUAUGUAUUUCUUGUGAUGAAGACUGGCUACAGUGGAUGGACCGCAGAGAUCAAUGUGUAAGAGUUCCAAUGGUUCAGAAAUUGAGGAGUCAAUCACUGUGGGGUGACUUGCCUUGAAUUGUUUUCCACAUUCACAUGCAGGACAAAGAGUAUCAUUGCUAAACUUGAGGAUUGGAAGACCUCUGACUAGUUCUCUAGUGACCAAAUUGUUAAUGUAUCUGAAGUUGAGAUGGGCGAGCUUGCGGUGUCAUAGCCAGCUGACUUCGGUUACUGCUUUGGAUAGGAAGCAUAACUGCGGUUUGCCUAUGAUCAAAGAUACAUCCAGAGGGUACAUAGUACCUUUGGAUCUGGACUUGAUCAGACAAGUGCUCCUAUUGCUUGUCAUUACAUAGCAAAAUUGGUCAUCAAAUUCAACACGAUGGUCUGCUUUACAUAGUUGACCAACACUGAUGGGAUUGUGUUUAAGGCCUUUACAUAAGCAACCUUUUGAAUAGAGAAGUUUCCCGUAGUAAGAACACCAUAACCUCGGAUUAUCCCAUUCGCAUUGUUCCCGAAUGUGACGUUUCCACCGUUGCAAAUUGGCCUGAAAUCUCGAAGGUAUUCUAACCUUCCCGUCAUGUGCAAGGAGCAGGCACUGUCGAUUAACCAUUCUUCUUCUUGUUCCUCCUUGCACAAGGCCUGAGAAUUACACGGUCAAUUUAGGCAUCCAAACUAGUUUGGAGCCUGGGACAAAGGAUGAGUUUCUGAUUGAUGCAUAAAUCGAGGUUGCAGGGACUGGUUUCGUGUCAACUUUUAAUCCUAGUCCUGGGUGUUUGUGAGUUUUUGAGUGUUGUGUUGUUUUGAAAAGUUACGAGGUUUCUAAAAAGGAUCAAUUUUGACAUGAGAUAACCUUUUCUGACAACUACAUUGACAUUGACAAGCUGAAAUUUUGUCUUUUGUUUUGACAUUUUGUUUGUUCAACGGGCGGAAUGAUGAGGUAGACUUGUGACUGGUCCGAGGUUGGUAGAAUCUAACAUUUGAGCUGUUGGAAUUUGAAAAAGUUCUUUUCGAAUAAGAUUUAGCACGUGUAAAGUCUUUAGACCUUUUUCUAGGAUUUGGUAAAAUGCCCUUCCACUUGUUGAAAUUUUGAUGGGACUUUAAAAGUGUUGGAGUGGGUAAGAUACCUUUCCAUUUUGGAUCAUCUGAGGAAUAGAUUUGAAAACCAUUGCUACGAAAAGACCUUUCUUUCUUUUGGGUUUUGUUAGAUGAGUUAGGAAUGGAUGUUGAAACUGCACAUUCCUUUUUUCAUGUUUUCUUGAUGGGAUAGUUUUUUGAAAAAUAGUGAACAUAAACAAACUUUUCUGGACUCUUAGAUUUUGGAAAUCUGAUAUGUCUUUUAUUUUUAGACAAGGCUUGUCAAUUUGUGCCUCGGGAUCGAAUAUCCUCUUUGAAAGCCUUUUUUGCUAAAGUUUUUGGAAAACCGCAAUCAUUAGUGUUCAAUUGCGGUUUCUUGGAAACCUUUGAAAAGUUUUAACAACGAGGGCUUGACUCAUCAGAACUUGAAGAUUCAAGGUUUUGAGAGCAUUGACCUACUUCAAAGUUUUCUAUGGGUAGUUCAUGGUGAAUAGGUUGAAGAGUCACAGAGCUUUUUAUUGUGGCCUGUCGUAAGGAAGACUUAGCUACCGUAGCGUAAGUCUGAGUCGUGACUUCAGUGGGACUUUUCUGAGGAUCAUGACUGCAGUGAGAGGCACUGCGGUCUGAGGACAAAGGUGGAAAGUCCUGUGAGACUUCAGGACUUUCUAUGACAAUUUCUUCAUUAACCAAAUUUUCAAUAGCUUCACUUUCAUUGAACAAUUUUUCUAUUAAUAGAUUUAAGCGUACAAUCUCACUUUGAGCUAAAUCUCUUUGGUUCAAAGCUAUUUCUAGUUGUGUUUCACUCAACAUUCUUGCAUAUUUUUCUAACUCUAAAUCCUUUUCUAACAUGGCCAUUUUGAGUGUUUUGUUGUCCAGUCGUCCUCUUACAUGAAACAUCUCUUGGGACGCUAUGUUCUUCUCAUCUAAGGCUUUGUUGUAGUCUGUAAGGACGGCAGCACAAGUGUCAUUAAGAUUGUCUAUGAAGGGUUGACAGUCAUGCAUGUUAUAGUUUAGAGUUUGAAUCAUGAGUUUUACCUGUUCGACAAUGCUUAGAGUUCCAUCCUUUGCCAUGUAGCAGUAGUUCCUUUCCAGCUUUGUAGACCCAUCAUCAUCAGCAGUUGCUAGCAUGCAAAUUUUGCCUUUUCCUUUGAUAUUGCUGAUGGUUACUUCUUCAUCUCCAGAUGACCAAACUUGAUUCUCUCUUUUGACAUGGGACACGUAUGCCCUAGCCUUUUCCUUUUCCUCCAAUUCUUGAGCCAUUCUAAGGUAGAAUGCUCUGUCUUUCACCACAUUUGCUUUGCAAUCCUUUGCAAAAGGAUUCUCUUUGUUGCACUUGUGACAUAUUACAACAUCACUUUUGUCUUUUGAGGGGGUACCGGAGUCAGAGGUUUGAAUGGAUUGCGGUGCCUCCUUUGGUUGAGUGUUUUUAGAUUGCGGUGGUGGAUGAGAACUUUUAGGAUAAUGAGAGUGAUUGUUUUGUGAGUUGAAGUUACGGUUGAAAGGAGGUUUGUUGAAUUGUUGAUUCUUGCGAAAAGAGGGAGGUGGUAGCUGGUUGAACUGUUUACUAACAAGAGCAAUAGCCUUUUGAAAUUCUUCUUCAUCAUCAUACUCUGAGUCGGCUUCGUACGACUGCGGUGUAGUAUCAUACGAGGGAGAGUAAGAUUGAUUAUGUGGAGCUUGUGCUACAAAAGCAAGUGGUCCUCCGAAGUCAGCACAGUCUUUGAGUACGGUGGAUUCUUGUGCUUGCAGUUCCCCAUAGAGCUUGUAGAGAGUCAAAGAAUGAAUCUUUUUAUCCCCUUAGACUAUCAUCUUAGUAGUAGUCCAAUGUCUUCCUAAACCGUUGAGAAAUUGAAGGUUUGUUUCAUGGUUACUGCGGAUGGUGCCAGCAUUCGAUAACUUGGUGACUAUUAGAUUGAACCUUUUGAAGGAGUCUUCUAAACUUUCGCCAAUAUGAGCUUUGAAGUUGUUGAAUUCAUUGAGUGCAGUUGUGAGCUUCUUAUCUUGAGCUUCUGAGCCUUCGUACAAAUUCUUGAGAACAUCCCAGAUCUCUUUUGCUGAUUUACAGUUUAUGAUAAUGUCGAAGUUGUCAGGAGCAACUCCACAAGAGAUUUCAUAAAAAGAAACAGCAUCAUUUUCCAUUUUAUCGAGAUCAUCUUUGGUGGGACAGUUCAUGACUGGUUGUCCUCCUCCUAGUCUGGUUGUGGUGCCAUCAGUUUGAACUGGUGUAAGAACAAGGACAUGUGGUCCUUCUUCAACAGAUCGUCAUACAUCUUUACCAAGUCUCCUUAAGUACCUUUCCAUUCUCUGAGACCAGUGAUGGUAUUCAUUUGCCACCAAUAUUGGAGAUCGAUUAGAACCACCAACAUUGUUGGAAACAUUCAGAGAUAGUGCUUGUGCCAUUUUCCUUGUUUUUUUUGUUUUAAGAAAUGAGCUUCGGUGGUAUAGAAAGCCCUUUAAAAAUCGAGUUUUGUUUUUCAAAAAGCAACCAAUAUGUCUAUGAUACCAAUUGUUGAGAGAAAAACUUGAGACACACUUGAACAAACGUUAGAACAAGUAUAGUUGCGGAAUAAUUAAUCUCAAAAGAUCUAAAAGCUCAACAAUAAUAAGUUAACGAGUUAGAUAGUUAGAUAGUUAGUUGCGGAAAUGUAAGGAAAUAUAAAUGACAGCAGGUGAUAGAUCAUGUAAACACAUAAGUUGAUUCAUAACAUGGAAUGCAUUCAAACAAAGUUAGUGAGUGAGAUCAAGCUUAGUGAUAAAUCACGAAUGACUUGCUCCGAAGAGGAAUAAUAUUCAGUUAUGUUCUAGAGGAUUUUGAAAGUAAGAAGAGAUAUGAGAUGCGUAAUAGAGAGAUGUAAUUGAUGGACUUGAAGAUUGUUCAGAUAGAUAUUUUAAACUAUGAAAGGAUAAGCUCUAUAUAUAGAGACUCAAGAAUUACAUUUGAUUAAUUCUCUAAGAGUAGCCAUGCAAGGCGUACUGGACAAUAGAGAGUAUUACAGAAAAGAUAGAUAAAUUUAAACUAAGUAAGUAAGACUGCGGUUGGAUAGAUGACUUCGGAUGCAACUGUUGAUGAGAGCUUGACUACGGAUCCUUGAGGGCUGUGGUAGACUAAGUUAAGAGGGUCACUUCAUGAUUCAACAAAACCAGAGAAUCAAAAAUCCACCUGGGGUUGAACAUACCUACUUCUGGAGAGGUUCACCGAUCGAUAUCUGCCCAACAAACCUGAAAACAGCAGUCCGGACAGCAACUGAUAAAACCUUCAAUGCCUGACACUCAACUUGAGAAGUCCCAAUUCUCCCCCACUUAGGGUUCUAACCACCACUCAAUGGUUAGAAAUCAACUCAUAACUCAAACCGGCUAAACCAGGUACGUUUUUUUUCCUGACCAUGGAAUGGAUAACGUACGUAAAACGAUCCUCCUGCUACAGAUCAAUCAGAACCCAAGAGAAACCUGAAUUUCAGCUGAAGACUUCCAGCGUGCAGAAUGACAUAUAACGACCCCCAAUAACCCAAAGAAAUAACAGAUAGUCAACCCGGAAUAUAACUUACCCAAUCCAACAAUAUACCAACACAAUACAAUUCUCGAUACAACCCCGAAGAAUAUAGGGGAUCACACACCCUCAAAACAUCCAAAGAAGUCCUGACCUCCUCCUCCCGAGUUACCCUAACCAACCUGAGGUCACGCAAGAAACUCCCCUUCGAUCCCAGGUGACAUGAACUAAUCCCUGUUUACAAUCCAAAUGACAAUCCGGCACCCGACCUACCCGAGAAUAUGGUACCUAACUCUCCUUGCAAGAUACUCAUGCCAAAUCGACCAACCUGCGCUCACCAGUGCUGGAAUACUUUCACCAACCCCUGCGACCAACUGACCCUGAGCUGGAAAUACAACCUGACCCAGAGGUCACAAGCCUGCUCACUCCUUUGAACUCAGAAAACUGAAAGGGCACAACCCUUGCCCUCGAUAACAACAUUCCAAUCCAUCAAUCAACCCUUCUACUUCCAGCUACAAAACUCGAGCUGGUCAUCAUUAUCACUCCCUUCCUAAUCCCCGCGACUCACACCCUAGCCUCGAGCAAAACCCUCGAAGCCUCAAAUCCAGAAACUCCUGUGACAACCUCUCCUGCUCAAUCGCCAAAUGUAACGAGUACGGAACAUCUCCCUAAUCCCAAGUAACUGCAGCUCUCUACUCAUCAAAAUACGUCCCAGUAAUAAGUCUCCACCAAUCCUUCGCCCCGGACCUCAGCAGGUUCAGAGCGCACCUGACCUCCUGGUCAGCAGAACAUGAACAUGUGAAGCAAUAUCCCUCCACAUCAGACAGCCACCUAAUGGCUACAAUCGGGUCUUGAACCCCAUCAAAAGUUGGGGCUUCGUGUUAUCAAAGUCCCGAUACUGGAAAGCUCGAAUGGCUCCUCCCCUGCCACCGUUACAGUUGUUGUAGCUGUCGCGACAGCUGUCUCGGCAAUGGCGGCAUAGCGAUCAUCAAAAUACUUAACCAUGGUAGUCUUGAUAGACCCAAACAUCCUCGACAACUAUCCCCGGACAAUCUCGAUCACCUCCUUCUAGAUGAUCUCCCUAACACGAUCUUUUGACAAUACUAGACUAUCCUGGCUACCAGCCCCCGAUCCAUACCCGGAUAUGGUCUCAAGACGUCUCGUAACCACCAUUAUGAUAAUACCCCAGAAAGAUCUCUGAUAGUCCAUAUAAUAAAAGGGAACCAACUCCCAACCAAACCCUAGGGGUUGUCACUUCCUUGACAUGCAUAUGGAUCAUGUGCUUCCAGUAGUACGGGCCCAUACUACCUUCCACACCUAUCCAUAUUUGUCCCAAGUAUCACCACAACACCCUAACAAUAUACAUAAACAUAGCGAGCACUCAAUCAUCACCCCUAUAGGAAUGCUAAAUAUCUCAUAACUAUCCUUUCGGCCUCUCACAACACACCCAUGAAACUUCAACCAACCAUGCAGCACUAGAGUAUGCUAGUCACAUAUAACGUUGGACCUUAUAGACUUUCAAAUAUCUGAUCCUAACCUAAUCCCCCAAUCAAACAAGAAUAGAACAUAAGGCCAAACCAAACAUUCUCAGGCUAUAAGAUCUUAAUUAUGUAUAACUAUGAUGCAUACACUAAGCAACUACAGUAAUGAUGUCAAUCUCAUAUAAGGAAAACCCAAGGCUAGCAGGCAUCAUAUAAUCAGACAAUUUCUAUCAUGCAAUUCCUGAAGAUUCCUAGCCUAUCUCUAGCAUGUUGUUCUAUCACAUCAUAACAUCAAAUAACAGUAUGGUAUUUUGGGGUCUAUCCGCGAGCUCCGGCUGAUCGUACACUUGCUUCCUCCUUCAUUAUUUGAAAACCAUUUGAAAAUCCUUUUUAAAAUAUUUUUCCUUAAUUUGAGAUUGGAUUCACACAAUGUUCCUCCAAUUCACUCAAACCAAGGCUAUGAUACCAACUUGUGACACCCAUAAAAAUCAUGCCAAAUUCGAACUUUUUUUUAAAACGUUUCAAAACCAUUAAUCAUUACAAACUUGUUUUCAAAAUGUAUAAUAUCAGAGUUUUCCCAGAAACAUAAACAAAACAUGAGGAGUUGUACGAUCAUGCCUUUGCCUUGUCGUGAUCCUCUGAUGUACCUGAAACAACAAACUGAAACUGUAAGCCCGAAAGCUUAGUGAGUUCCCCCAAAAUACCAAUACCAUAAAACAUAUCAAUAACAUAUAAACAAACAGCAUGCAAAUGAGCCUUCAGCCUGACUGGACCACCCCGUAGUGCCUAUAGCCUAUCUGGACCGCACUCCGAGCCUUCAGCACGUCUGGACCGCCUUGCAGGGCCUACAGCAUAUCCGGACCUCUCUCCGGGUCUUCGUCCUGACUAUACCGCCUCGCAGGGCCUAUAGCCUAUUCGGACCGCCCUGGGUAUGUUGGCCUACAGCACGAAGCAGGACUGCCUCAACCCAACCCCAAACAAAACAAUCAUGUGCACAUGGAUAUCAUAUAAACAAUAGCAUGCAUACAACAGUCAGACCAAUCUAACAGAUCACAAAACAUAGCAACAAUCUUAUAUACCAGGAACACCGACCUAACCAGAUCACUAAGCAUAGCAUAACACCAUCCUAACUACCAGGAUGUAAAUCAGUAAGCAUAUCACACAAUAAUCCGAAAACAAUCCAUAAAGGGCCGGUCUUGGUGCCUUAGACCCUAUUGAUGUAGUGAAGAUAACUCACCUGGAUCAAAGAGUUGAAUCCCAUCAGUAGCUAUCACCAACCACCUGAUACCAAUCAUGGUCAAACCUCAGUCUGAGACUAAUAUCCAUACACUAAUAAAAUAAAACUUAUGCUUCAAUGGACCUAAAUAUGGAUCACACUACACAUGAUCAUUUUAAUUAUCGUGAGAAUAUUCAUUUCAAUUCAAAGUGGGAUAACACCGAAUCUUAGAGUCUAGCAAACUACAAUAAUUAGAUAAACCCCAUUUACAAGUUGUGAGCCCAUGAAACUUUAUUAUUAUUAAUCCAUUAAAAAUUAUAUAUAACAAGAAAUGAAGUCCAUAAUAGCAACUAGCCCACAUUCUAUAAUAUAGAGUUGAGUCCAUUUAGAUUUCAUUAGAAUUCUUAAGCCCAACAGAUGAAUAACCCAUCAUGACAAGGAGUCCAAAGGUUAAUGGCCCAUAUCAAAAUAACCUAAUAUAGCAUGAUCAGUCCAAAAGCAAGGAGACCCUUUACCUAAGUGAUCUUCCUCCGCCGCCUGAAGGUUCCCUGUCGACGUCACCUCCAGCGAUGCAGCUUCACCUGUGCAGCCUCCUUCUCCGGCGACAUCUCCCUCUUUCUCUUUAUCUUACAUCAUCCUCUCAAAUCUCCCAUUACCCGAUAUCCUUGAAAGCAUUAACAAUGAAUUACUUAUUUUGGCGACAGUAAGGCUGAGAUUUCAAGGGCAAGACGAAGAUUAAGGACUCCGUUAACCACCACCGCCAUUGACGGUUUAUCACCGAUGACAUUGCUCACCAAAACCAUUGAAUCCUUUCUGAACAUCACUAUCUCAACUCCAGCAAAACCCAUUCCCGUUCUCUUUAAAGGCACCAACAAAAGCUUCCAUUCCCGGCGACGAUUCCUUAUACACUGACGCCGGCGGUUCUAUCUCAUUCCCAUUAUCAAGUUUUAAUCAUUGCUCACAUCCCGUUCUCUACAUGUUGGUCAAGAGGAGCUCACCAUGAACCCAAAUGGCCCUCCGACAUGUACCUCACCACCGAAGGUUGAGCUCAUCGCUCAAACCAUUAUGAUGCCUCACCGAUGGUAUUGCCCUCUCCAACGGUGCCUUCAUCUUCGGCGAAGUGAGCUAGACCCGCCUCCUAACAUCGACGUCUCAUCGCCUUACUGUCUCUCUUUAUUUUUCUCAAUAUCAAUCUCUCUCUGCCUCUCUCUUCAGCCGCACACACACACAUGCUUACCCUCACUAGUCUAGGGUUUUUGGGUUGAUUACAUACAUGCUAGGAUGCGAUUACCACCAAUGGGAUGAAGGAUCUCCUGCCUCCCACGAUGUCGUGAUGCAGGGAACAGGGGAGCAGAAGUUUCCUAAAUUGAUAGAAACAACACCCAUAGUUUAGACUUUUGAUAGUUUUAACCCAUGCUUGAUUUCCUCCAACUUAAGAAGUUUCUGAAAUAGCAUAAAACCCCCCUAGAACUUUACAAUUUAGCUUUAUUGUUAUUAUUCUAAUCUAAUAAAUCCCAUUUUAAUUAAUUUACUCCUUUAAACUAUUAUAAUGCCACACUAAACGAUUAAAUCCAUCCAAAUAAUUAUUUGCGCCCUUUUUGACUAUACUCACCAUUCCGUAAAGUUUACUUUCUAAUCAUUCAACCACCCAUGCUAUUUCUUAAACCUCCCUUUUCUCUCUCUCUCUCUCUCUAUAUAUAUAUAUAUAUAUAUAUACACACACACACACACACACACACUCAAGUUANNACGGGAUGUUAGUUAGUAUUCUUGUAUAAGUAUAUAAAGAAGAGAUAAGGCCAAAAACUAGCUAUUUUUUUCUUGUGAAUUCUAUCCUCUUUUCUCUUACAAAACGACAAGCAUGGAGCUCACUUUCCCUCUCCUUCUUCUUAUGAUUUGGUGCAAGAUUAAAGGUCAUAUAUGUUUCUUCUAUUUAAGGUUUAUUUGGUAUAAAUCUUAAAGCUUAAGAACAACAUGUAUACAAGUAAAUACUAACAUGUUUUUGUGGAUUAUCCUUGCCCGAUGGAUACUUGUAGAGAGCUUGUCCUUUAAAGCUUCUUGUCACACUUCAUCAACUUUCAAUCUUUCAUGAGAAUCAAAGUCUUCCAAGGCUAUAUAAUUUUUCCUUCUAUGCUUGUUUUAAUCUUUCCUAAGUUUUGUAAAAUGAUCAUUGGUGGGUAAAUGAUUUUAGUUUAUACAAGCAUAAAAUUGCUUCUGUUGCUAAACUCAUAGUUUUGACUAUCUAUUUUAGACUAUUUUUGAAUAAAACCCAGCAGUACAUUGGUAAAUAAAAGAAAUAUCAAUGUAUUUUUAUUUAAUUCUAUCACAACAUUGUACUUUCGUUUGUACUAAUUAAAGCAUUGUACUUUCAGUGAAUAAUAUGUCUAGCUAUAGUAGUGCAAUGCUAAAUAAAUGUGAGUAAAAAUAUAUUGCUCUAACCUACUACUAAAACUAUACACAAGUGCUUUGUUAUUGCUAUUACCACCGUCGAUUUAGGCAUAGGGAAGGAAAGUCCCAUGACCCACCUAAUUUUAUAAUUAAAUCAAAAAUUAUACCAAGAAAAUAAUUUAGGACCUACCUUGAAUUUUUAAGGAUCUACUUAUAGUGUUAGACGGAAAAGGAAGGAAAAUAGAGGUAUUGACUGUAGACAAUAAAAGGCAAAACAUAUUUGGUGGCAGAAGGAGUCCCACAUCGACUCUAAGAAGAAAUUGGUAGGGGGUUUUCCAUUAUAAAUAAAUGUUGUCUCUUUAACACUUCCACACCUUGAAGAUUAUUAACAAUUGGUUCAGACCAAAUUUACUCAAAAUUUAUGUUGGUUUUAGUAAAAAAAUAAAGGACCGGUUUGGGCUUGGUCAUCUCACCUCAAGUUUCUAUAUAUGUUGAACCAAUUAUUUUUUUUGGUUGAACCAAAUUUUUUCUUGAACCAACAUAGUUCAACCCAAAUAGGGAACAACGUGAGUGUGUUGAUAUUGUUAUUAUGUUUGUGUGAUGCUUGUAGAUGGGUAAAAGAGAGUGAGCCUCGAAUCAUAUUUCCUUGAAGUUCUUAUUCUCUUCAAGCUACUUGAACCAUCAGUUGUACUAAAUAUGCAUUCGUGAGUGUGUUUAUAUUGUUAUUAUGUGUAUGUGAUGGUUGUAGAUAGGCAUGAGAGAGUGAGCCUUAGAUCAUUUUUGGUUGAAGUGCUUGUUCUCUUCCUGACCCUUUGAUAGUCAUUGCAUUUCAUUUUGUUCUUCCGAGGAAGAUUAAUGCAUUUCUUUGUCGGUUGAUCUUAUGUGGAAUUUUUGGAAAUAUUAGAUCAUUUUUACUUUUACUCAACCCUCUCAAAUAAUUCAAGCAUCCUAGUUUAAUUUUUUCAUCUGCUAUUUCAAAACAAUGACUGCAAUUUCUACUAGUGUUUUUUUUGAAGAAGAGUCUUUAAUGUCGACCUUUACUUCUCAGUCAAUCAAUUAUCAAGAAAUUUUAAAUCCAUCCAAGUAUCCUAAGCAAAAGAGGUUCUAAUAAGAAUUGUCACUCUCGCAUUCACUACAAUAGGGGUCAACAAAAUGAAUGACAUGGUUUCAUUUGAACUUCGAUGUGGGAAGCACAUAACCUUUUCUAAGCCAAAAUUUUCAAAACUUUUGUAUCUUCUAACUGAAGGACCAUAUGUUAUUCCUACAAGUCAAGACCUCAUUGAUGUGUUUAACUCUAUGUUUCAGGAACCUUAUAUGAUGAGGGUGUCUGAAUUCAAAAAGAACAAACUUCCUGGUGUUUGGAAUCUUCUAUUUGGUUUCAUUCUUCAUGGCUUAACAUGUCGUACUUGUGUAUUGGAUGCAAUAGAAAAAGAAUUAUUGGCUCUUUUUAAUAACAUGGGUUGUAUAUAGGUGUGAAUGUUGAUUUUGCUAUGGUGAUUUGGAGUGAAUUUUUUGAUAACAUGAAAUUUUCAGAAAGGGAAAAUUAACUUUUUACAUAUGGAUUUUGGGAUUUAAUAGUUUCUCAAGCUUACGAAUUUCACAAAAUUCCAAUUGAAGAUUUUGAUGUUUCGAAGAUGGUAGUAUAUAAAAUUAGUAUUCCAACCAACGUUGAUACGUCUUAUUUUUCUUUUGUUGGUCAGAUUCCUAAAAAAAGUUGAGUUUUAUUAUAUCUACAAAUAAGAUUUUGGAUCAAUAUCUUGUUCAACCAACACCUCAAGAAGCAUACGUUCAGAUUACAAGAAUGACAACCACUUGGGUUGUGGUGAAUUUGUAAGGCACGUGGAAGAUAUGGUGGAUAACCUAUUGACCCAAGUUCAAAUCGUGGCACUAGUGAACCUUUUGGCCAUGGAGGUUCGUCUGUAGUGACUUGAGGGCAUCAGACAUAACCUCAUGUUUGCAGCAGGGGAUUAGUCAGUUCACAAAAGUUGGCCCGAAAACCUUCAAUUGGGAAAUUUCACUUUCCAAAAAAAAAAAAGAUUCAUAAGAAUGAAUGUGAAGAAACCAAAAUCUCCAUUUGUUAAUCCUAAACCUAAAGUUUUGAAAAAAUCAAAGUGACUCAAGAAGCCCAAAAUUAUUGAAGAACCAAUUAUCUAAGAAUAUGACGAGGAUCGACAUCAAGGUGGUUCAAAUUUUGAAGAAUGUAUAUUUAUAACCACAACUUGGACAACUGUCAAAAAAAAUUAUUGGAGAAAAUUCGGAUAUUUGUUGCUACAACUCCAUCAAAACUGCAUUGGUUUAGACAAUUCUCAUUUCAGAUUCCAAUGUCGAGAAUCCUAUUUUUGAACCUUAUAUUUAUUGAUCCAAUGUCUAUCUCUGAAUCUCUGACCACUUCUGAAGAAGAAGAAGAAGAAGAAGAAGAGGUUGAUGGAAUUGUGUUUACGGGCAAGAAAGAUCCUUCUUUUUAUGAUAUUAUCAAUUAUUUUGAGAUGGCUUCUCUUGGUGAAGGUUUAGUUGAUUCUGGUCAAGAUGAUGACAAAGAUGAUAAUCAAUUGAUGUUUAGAAGAGAUUUUAAGAAAUUUAAUCGUGAGAUUAAUGUUGUAUUACGAUCUCUUGAUUCCAAUACUCAGUCUGCCCCAUUUGAAUCAAGAAAAAAGGUUUGUUGAUUGGUUAGUCAUUCUUUCUGAGCAAAACAAAAAGAUUGAUUCAUUAACGAUUGGUUUUAAUCUUUUCAAAGCUCACAUAAAUAAUAAAACAUAGUCCCAUAUGACGAAGGUACAAGAAGUUAUGUUUAAUGAGUGCAAAAAGCUUUUUGAUGAAAUCUCAAAGAUGAGAAAUGAGAAUCAGAAGUCUUUAAAUAAGGCAUUUGGUGAUCUCAAAACUGAACAUGAAGAUUCUCUCAAAAGUCUAACUAAAUCUCUUACUGAAGAGUCCAACUAGUUAACCCCUUCCUAAUUAACAAUUAUCCAUCCAUAUCGCUUAAUGAGACUUUCCAACUCAUUCACCAUACGUUUCUUUAUGACGACCCUAUAUUUUUUCAUAUUAGAUCAAACAAUCUCCUUUAUACUUUAUCUAUCAUAAACCCUUAUUAUUUUCUCUUAAUCGAUUAUAAACAAUUAGUUUGUUGACAUUGGCAAUGUACAUGAAGGUUGAUUUGUACUUCCAAAGUAUUUUUAUCAGGUAUCAUAUUAUGUGUUACUCUGAUUGAAUACAUCACAUGUUUGAGGAUGUCGAUUUUUCUGGAAUAGGCAAGGACGAAUUCAUGGCUUUUCUUGAAAGAUUCACUCACGAGAAAUGUGGGAAUGUGUACUAUUGUUUAUCGGAUCUUUACUUUCCUGAAGGAUUAAGGAUAAUAACUAAAAAAUUGAUUAUUGCGACUUCACAUGGUUUUGGUUGUGUACUCCUUAUGUAAAUAGAUCACAUUGGUACGAAUAUACAUGAGUGGCUUGAUGAUGACAAAGAAGUGGUUUUCAAUCCUUAAUACAACCACUCGGGUGUAGGGGAUUUGCCUAUAGAUUUUCCAGGAGAUAUGAAUGUUGACAUUGAAGUAGAUGAUUACAUUCCUAUUAACAAGACCUUCAGUGAUGAUUUCCUGAGUAAGAUUUUCUCAUAGGUGAAUGCAAUCCUUGAAAAUCCACCUCAUGAGGAUCCAUAUCUUUAGAUGGAUGAGAUUGAGCCAUAACUUGAUAUGUAGACAACCUUUAAUGAACAUGUUAACCAUAAAAAGCAGAACCAUAUGCUAGUUAUGAGAUUUGAAAGUCCAAAACAAUUAAACCAUAUGCUUUUUUAUUCUUUUAUUGAUGGGUAUCAGUUAUGCUACAAAAAAUACUUUUGGUGAAAUAUUGUUCUGGAUAGUGCAAGUUUAGGAUUUAGGCUUUAUUGAGGAGUGAAGAGAACUCUUUCCAUAUUAAGUUAUUCAUGAGCAUGCUUGAAAUUUCAAGAUGGGGUUAACUGUUAGUUAUUCUUGGAUUAGCAGCCACUACAUUAUUUCAGCAAGUUUUACAUUUGUUUUAAAGGAUUCGGGAAAGGUUGGAGAGGGGGAUGGAGAAGAGUCAUCAAUCUGGAUGGAUGUUUUUAAAGUGUUUCUAUAAUGGAGAGUUAAUAUAUUUUGUAGGAAGGGAUGUUAAUAUUCAAAUUUUCCUCAUUGCAUGGGAAAUUGUAUGUGUAGAAAACAAAGAGAAUUGGAAAAGGUUUUUUGAUAACCAUAUAGAUGAUUUGGAAUGCAUGCAAGGUUUUGCUUAUGAAAAUACAAAGACUGGUUUUGAAGAAAAAAACUUCACGGGGACAUUUUCUAUAAAUUACAAAAUUACAAGGAAUAAAUCUACUAAUAUCCAAAAAAAAUGUGGCAAAACUUCAAUAUAAAAACUCUAGUGGCGAAAGUCCAAAAAUCCAAUAAACUAUUGGUCAAUAAUAAUUGUACAUAUAGUCCCCUAUUUACAUUUCAUUUUCCAAAUGUAAAAAAUCCUUUUCCAAACAAAUGUCUUUUUUAAACAUGAUGUACAAGCCCCAUAUGCCCUCGGGACUCUCAUAUUGAAAAAAAAUGAAGGCAAAACCCAUUUGUGGCAAAGAAGAGGCCACAUCAAGUGUAUUGGAUUUCCUUUUGCUUUACUUGCUCCAAUCACAUACUCUUUAUACCCAAGCAAAUUUAUUUCCCUUUAAGCAUCAUGUACAAGCGUCAUAUGCUCAUUAGUUUCUUCUUCAAUAAAUUGGACUUUUAAUAAAAGAACCAUAAGAACUUAAUGGUCACAUGAAGCUCCCAAUUUAGCAUUCACGUAACAUAUACAACUGACACACCAAUUUAUCUCUAGAAAAGCAUAAUGUACAAGCUUGAUAUACACAUACAAUCUCCACUUCAAUUAAAUUGGAAUUUUAAUGAUGGGACCAAAUGUACACUGAACACUGUUCAUUAAAAAUUGAAGGGGUGUAAUUGAAAAUCAUGGAAAACUACAAUGGCGAAACUGAGAAAGACAAUGCUAUAUUAUUUAUAAGAACUUUUGGUUUAAUAUAUAAUAUAAUAAAUUGCAUGUAUAUUAACAAAAUGUGAUAUUUGUAUAAGGUAUACUGAUGUGCACAAAGUGACUACUAGUCUUAAAUUUAUAACCUAACAAACUCUUACUAACUAUGCACCUAUAGGUAGUGUACCAAGUCAGAUUAUAGUAUAGCUCAGGUAAGUCGGGUGUCAAUCAUAAAGAACGAAAUUCAAUUAAAUAAUCAAUUACUUCUAGUUAAAAUAUGAAACAAAGUAUGAUUAGGGGGGGGGGGGGGGGUUACUGAUUUUUCAAGAUCAGAAUAACUUAAUAUCACCUAACAAGUAAGCAAGCAACUAAAACAAAGUAACUUCAAAAAUUAAAAGAAUACUUCUGCCUAGAUCCUAUUUUUCCUUCUCCUAUGGUUGAUUUCUAAUGGAUAAAUUAUAUUGAUUACCAAUUUGCUAGCUAUUAUGAUCAAAUAUCUAAGCCUACCAAUUUAUGAAUGACAAAGCAAUGAUCAUGCACAAGUUAAACACCAAAUUGAUAAUAGCACAAUUAGGAUAUGAAUUAUAUUAGUUACUCUUUUAGGAUCAAGUUAAGAAACCAAGCACUAAUUAAGACUAUAUAUGCUCUGUAACAUAGUUAAGUUAAUAUAUUUAAUUACUUAAUCUAAGAUGUGAUUAAUCCUAUCUCUAUUUAUCUAAUGAUCAUAAACAGUUAUGAGAUAGAUUCACGCGCUUAAUGUGAUCAAUUAACACACAAAAUCUAAUUCAUAAGCAAUAUAAACUAGAACUAAAAUAUGCUAGGGUUUAUAAAUAUCAAACACAAGUAAAAUAAAAUAUAAUCAUCCAAUAUUGAAAUCAACACAUAUGGAUCGAGUUCAUUUUUACCAAAUAGAAGUAAAAGGUGUUUAGCCUCUCAUUGUAGCAAAAACACAAUACAUCUAAGUAAAAUAAGCUAGACAUGAGUAUAAUAAGCAAACCAACUACAUCAAAGUUGAAUUCUUAUAAGUCUUCUUCAAUUCUUGAGCUUCAAUUGAAUUUAGAUCUUCUUCUGGGUUUCUAAGGGUUCUUAGUCACAAUAAACCUCAGAAAACCGAAUGCCUCCCUCUAAUUUAGACCUAAUGUCUGGGAUUUUAUAAUUAUCUAAAUCUGACCACCAGAUUGUGGUUUACCGCCACCACGACGUGGUCUUCGAGUAAAUCCCAUGUAUGCCAAGUCAGCCUGAUGGGUUGCGAAUAUUCCAUUCAACACGCCGUGUUGGAGAACACCACGACCUGGUCAUCCGUCAUCUUUUCUUUUUCUUUUGUUUUAGCUCUUGUUUCCUGCUUCCAUCUCCUUGUAUGCUUCCGUUUUGUCUUGAGCAAGUCUUUGCUGCUACAAAAUAUAUUUUAAUUAUAAUAAGUAUCUUUUGUUCCAUAUUAAGCAUAAUUGUAGCUAAAAGUAUUAGAAAUAUGCAUUAAAUAUGUAGUUAAUUAUGCACAUAUCAAAAUACCCCACAUAAGCAAAACUGAUUUUAUUAUCAUCAUAUCAAGACUUUAGCUACCAACAUCGCACAAGACAAUCCAUUUUGAGCCUCUCCAUUACUUCAAGACCGCAAUGCAUGUAUUUUUGUCCAAAUUUUCCUAAGAACUUAUCCAAUCCUAAAUACUCACAAUCUUCAUAAACACUUUCCCACUUAUUUUGAACAAAACUCAUUUUAUGCAUCCCUCCGAAUCCAUCCCUAUAAAACUUUCUUAACCUCAAGGUAUUUUUGGUUAAACCCCAAGCAUACAUAUGGAAAAAUAACCUAGAAAAUAAAAAUACAAUAGGUAAUAACUUGGUAAAUUUCACCUUAUUCUUGAGUCUUCGAUUUAUUUGAAAUUUUCUCUAACUUUUGCAACUUUUUUUCUUUUUCUAUUUUUUUCUUUUUGCUCUUUUUCUUACUUUUUUCACUCAAAACUAAAAAAACAUAUGCUUAAGCAAGGGAACUUAACUUUAACCCUUAUUGGUUAGAUGUAUUAGUCUAAGUGCAAUGACUACAUAAGCUCUCCUGGAUACAUUUCUGGUACAUGAUGCUAAACAUUUGUGGCCCUCAAACUAAGCAAGGUCGUAUUUUUGUUCCAUGAUUUGGAAGGCAAACAAUACCUCUAUUGAACCUCUUUUUAAUGUAGCAAUAAAGUGAAUCCAAAUGCUAAAUCUUAUAGAAUUUACAUACCUUAUGGAGAAGAACCCCUCACAUGGUCCAAAAAAUUCUAUCAAAAAUAUAGGAUGCGUCAUGUUUUUGAAAAUGGAUUAUUUUAGAGCUUCAACAAUGUUAUUAGGGAUGCAAGGAAAAAUCCAACCAUCAAAAUCUCAUAGGUAACCAUGGUGUAUGUCAUAGAGAUGAUCUUCAAUAUAAACGUAAAUGGUAGUACAUGGCCUGAGUUGAAGCUAUGUCUAUCUAUAGCACUACUACUCAAUGGGUUACCAAUUGGAAAAGGAUAUAUGUUAAUUUCUAAUCCUUAUCUUUAAAUGUUUAGGGUAACUUUAUAAUAUGGUCUUAUAUGCACUCGUAAGUAUUACCAAAUGGUCUUAAAUAAUUUGAAACAAGGAACUUAGUAGAGACAUAGGUUGUGGACUUAGAUAAAAAAACAUGCACUUGUAGAAUUUGGCAACUCAAUGGUUAUGGAUGUGUGCUUUAAAUAGCAACAAUCUCUUUUCUAAAUAGAGAUAUUAAUGCUUAUAUGGACCUAAUGUACCUUAUAACCUUUUACAUGAACACUUACAAGUAUUCGUUGCAUAAGAUGAAUGGUAGCAAUAUGUGGCUAAGUAAUAAUCAUACCACUUUUUCCACCAUUAAAGAGAAGAAUGACAUGUAAACCUACAAUCAAUAGGAGAAGGAAUGAUUCUGAAAUAACUAAAAAAAUCCUAUGUCAAGGGUAGGAAAAAAAAAUUAUGUAGCGUUUAUAAACAACUUAGCCAUAAAAAGGCAUUUUUGCCCUCAAUCUAAAUAGGCUACCAAACUUACAGUGAAGAAAGGGAAAAAGGUAAGUGAAAAUGAGGAGCAUAUGCAAGAAGAAAACAGGGAGGAUGGUACGGAAGAAGAUAACAGGGAAGGUGAUGAUCCCCAAUAAGAACAAUCAAUAGAUAUGAUGAAUACAUAAGAGAGUGAAAAUAAACUAUGGGUUGAGGGGNNNNNNNNNNNNNNNNNUAAGUGACAGGACUAGAAUUAGGAUCACGAAAAGACCAAAAAGGAUUAUGAAUAAGAAACUAGCUAAGAGGGUUGAGGGUAAGAAUGGACAAGGAAACAAUGCUGAAAAACCGAUGUAUUUAGAUUGGGAUUUACGAUUGUUUCCAUUGGCAAACAUUUUUAAUUAACUUUAUGUUUUAAUGUGUUGUUAUUGUGAAACAUGUAAUAGUGGAAUAUUGAAUUUUUUAAACUCUGAAAUUGGUUAUUUUGGUACUUUAUUCUAACGGACCAAAUACUUCAAUUUGUAACAUGUUGGUAGUAUAUUUUACUUAAACCACACACAUAGGUACCAUAGCACCGUGAUCAAACGGUCUAAUGGAAAAUGGCACAUGAAGAAUAUAUUAUAACAAUCUUCGAUAAUAAUUACAUCACACACAUAUUAAAUCAUAAUGUAAGCAUAAUAAAUGCACCUAUUUUGCAUAUUUAUCUCAUUUCUAGCAUUUUCUUUAGAAGUUCAAAUAAUAUACUUUUACAUAUUUUUGGUUAUUUCUAGUCUAUCGGUGGAACGGUUUUAUUAGAACAUUUUAUGGUGGCUUUCAUGUGUAUCUGAAGAUUGUGAUUCAAUUUAUGGAUGUUAAGGAAGCUUGGGACAAAAUUUGGAACUAAAUGGAUCGGAAACGAAGAAUUUAUUAAAUUUAUGGAGGAUCCAAAUAGGAGGUUUCAUACAAUGCGUGUCAAAAUAGGCAUAAAAGAACACAUAAGGCGUGUUGAAUGGAAUUUGGGAGUUAACUUUGCUACACACGGGGCAUGUGGAUUUAGUACAAAUCUACAGAGAUCGUGUGAAAUCCAAAAUAGGCUAAAUUCAACAUGCUACUUUAAAAGACUUUCCGAUUAUGGCACCCUACUUUCCCUCCCACUCGGGGCGUGUGGAAUUAGUGUAAAUCCAUACAUGGAAUGUGGAUCCCAAAAAUUGCCUUUUGGCAGUUUUCGUAAUGACACAUUUCUAGAUUUUUAGGGCUAUUUCACUCUCUUUUGCCUAAGAUGAAUUGGAGGCAAUUUUAUCAUAUGUUCUUGCUAGAUUUGAGUCAUCUUGUAAACAUUUCUCUUUUAAUUGCAAGUUGAAUUAAUAUUGUAAUUUCCAUUUCUAGACAUUGAAUUUCAUGAUUUAGCCAUGUCCGACUACAACCCUUUCAUUUCUGAUUUUGUAGUACGAUUGUGAUUUGGUGUUUUGUUCAUGAUUCUAUCUAGAACAUUGUAGUUUCGUUUUACCCUAAUGUUUGAUUUAAACUUGGUUCAUGUUGGCCACUACAAUUAGGGUUAAUUCAUUUUCGUUAUUCAAUUUAUGGAAUCUGUAAUCAUUUUAUGAACUGAAACGAAAGUACAAGCAUCAAUUGGUUCUAUGAUGGGAUUAAUUUGGUGUAAACUAAAAUUUCUUGUUUUUAUGCUUUCAAGCCUAUGAAAGUGUCAAACAUUGUUAGGAACAUUUAUAUAAAUCUUAGUGCAAUUUUUCCAAUCUAAUUUUGAACGCUUGUUUAGAUAAGGCUAGUAAGGCUAGGUUUAGUUUAAAGAGCUUAUGUUUAUCAAACACUAUGAUGAAUGGAAAAUGCUAGAGCGUAUUAGUGUUUUCAAGUACCAACUUAGAUAGAUCGUGACUUAAGUUUAUUUCAUGAUUGAAUUUCAUGGCACAUGAGUAUACUACAGGAUCGAAACUCUUUUUACUAUUAAGUUACAAAUAUUUACUUGCAUGUGCUUAGUAUUUAUUUUUGCAAGUUCAAAACAACUCCCUAUUUCGUGACUCGCGUACCUUAGGAAAAAUGGCAUAAACAUUGGUCACGUGUCUCUGUGGAUCGACCCAGUUUGCCUUGUACUAAUUUUUAGUGCAAAGUAACAGUGUUUUUUGGGAUCAUUUUGUACCCAUUUAUUUUUUGGUUUUGACAUCCUAAAUAAACAUUAACCACAUAUUAGCUUUCCGUUGAAGUGGGGGUAUAUCCAAAAAAACAUUUACAAAAUUACCUGAUUUCAAUAAGGGCUUCAUCAUCAUCACUACUAGGUUAUUUAGAUGUUGAUAAUGAACACAAAAGGUUGAUAUUACAUGUAAAAAAGGUUACCCAAAAAUAUAUACUUAAAGCUUCUAAACCUACCCCCACCUUAUAAUCCAUUGCUAUCAGUUGUUCAUGAACACAAAUAUCAAUAAUAAAACAAUGACUACGACAAUCAAGCAUAAAGUCAUAGCUAGAAACUUCUUUCUAUAACCACGAACUUCAUGCUAAUGAAACAUGAAUUCAACCUUACAAUUAGGUUGGUUUAUGGUUUCGAAGAUUUGGUGCUUGGACGCAAUUAGGAAAAAUGUUUUUUUAGAAUUGGGUUGUUUAAUCCCCAAUAUAGAUGUACAUUUAUACCAAGGGGACCUCCUGUUCACCUUAGGCUCCGUGUUUGGGUUAGUAGACAGCCUCAAUGAUAUCUAAAUGGAAACACAAGUUCCAUGUAAUCCACCUUAUUUUCAAAAAGAAAAGAUUAGGAUUGAUUUGGAACUAAUGGGGAUGAAAUUCGAAAACCUGCCAAAAAAACUGACCUAACUUCACUCCGCUAAGGUUUAAUUUUUGCUUUCAGAAGACAACGUUUUCCUUAUCUUGUAAAUAGAAGAUUGUCAACUCUAAUUCAGUGUACAACCAUUGGGGGUGACAUUUUGUGGCUUCCAAAGAAGGUUUUUGUCCAAAAACCCUUUUGUGCCGAUUUUGAAGGUGAAUAAUUUGGAGCAAAGUUUUGAGGAAUCGAAAUGAAAUCGUUAGAAUAUCGAAUCGGUUUGCUUACUAAUUGUGACAUCCCCAUUUUUCAACCCAAAAGACCUUUUCUUUAUGCUUAUUUUAAAAUAGAGUAUUCUUUACAAAUAUAGAAUUUGUCCCAUAAUAAAUAUGUGAGAUAAAAGUAUUUCCGAAGAAACACUUUUCAUUUAUUAUUAAAAACUUGGGAUGCCAUAAAUGAUACAAGAAACAUAAGCAUAAACAUAGUCAUCACAGGCCUUACAACAUCUUCUUAUACUAAUGGCAUACAUCUCCUCAAACCUCUCAUCAGAUCCAAACAUCACUAUCCAUGUACCUUUCUACCGUUACUAGUGAUACAAAGAAACUGAGUGGGUCAGGCUGGAAAGUCUGGUGAGUACAUAGGGUUUUCAACCCACAAUAAUAUAAUUGUUUUGUUUAAUUAUAUAUUUCACAUCAAACAAUUAAACCAUUUACCAAUCCUUUUUUUCUUAUAUAUAUUCUUCUCGAACAACUUGUCUCAAGUAUCAUCGCAAACAUCGAGUAGACAGUACUGGUUCAGGGAUUCCUCUGCGUACAUGUCAGUAAGGAAUAGAGUACAUCACAUGAACAUGUCACUCAUAACCUACAAGUUGCGAACCUACCUAUUAGAUUGUCUUGAAUAGCUCGUGGUCAUCAUAUAUACCCUAUUAGAUGACUACAUUGCACAUCUCCAGUAAAUUCAUGGCCUCUCUUCAUUAUUUUUCAUCUCUCAUCACCCAUCACUACCCAAUAUAGUAUCAAUAUGAAAAUACAUAUACUGUUAUAUAAAAAUCAUCUUGUAUUACUUCAUCUAACAUAAAAUAUCUUAAUCACAGAUAAUAAGCACAUAUAACAUUUAAUUAUCUUAAUACUUUAGAUCUAUGUGUAAGAUGAAAGUAACUACUCACUCACUUGUUAAAGUGGAUGACUUGUGAUUUGGGCAACACUUCACCUAAUGCCUUAGCUUUUCCUUUUGAAAGACCUAGGUAUAUAUAUCACUAAGCCUUAGUCUUUGUUUCAUAAUUAUUAUGACUAUAAUGACGAUUGUCUAGAUUCCUCAAUAAUCGCAAUGAAUAUUGAUCCGUAGCUGAUAAGGAGCAACCAGGUAAGAUCAUAUUAGAUAUUGUUUGGAAAUCUCACUUUAAACGCCUCACUAAAUCUAGCCUAGACAUCACCCCUGUAAGUAGAUCAACGAUUAUUAUGACAUGAAAGUACUGAUAGAUCUUGUUUAUAGGUUCAUAAUAAUGGUAAUGAACUUAAACAUCAGUUACACAAGUGUAGCUUAAUUUAUAAAGUUUCUAGCGAAAAUCGGGAAAUUACGCGGACUUAAAUCCGACCCGCAAGUUUCUAUUUGUUAGGAUCUCUAAUGAAACAGUCCCUCGAUAAAGUAGCUGAGAACUAGGGAGUACUGGGGCUAGGGGUGCAGGAGGGUUUCCAGAGGAUUUGGGGAUGAAUGCGUGAGAAAAUGAGCAAAAACGAAACAUAUUUGUCAGCUGGAAAAAGGGGCAUGUCGCACCUUUACAAGGAGCGCACCAUGCCUUACGGUGACAUCGUUCAUGUAGUUCGCUGCCACGUGUCACAUUCUACUUGGUCCAUGCUGCCCCUUCUAGAUGUGUAAACCAUGCCAACCUACCCUACGCGUCGCGCUCUUCGAAAAACUUCUAAAAAUCGUAUCUUUCUUAUACGAGCUCUGUUUUUGACGUUCUUUAUAUCCAUGUGUAGCUAUCGACGAGCAAUACAACUUUCAUUCAAACUCCAUUAGUCAAUUAUCAAUUUAUUAUUAAUUUUAUAUUUUUAAAACACUUACACUGCUAAAAACUGUAUAAAAAUCAUAACUCUUUCAUACGAACUCUGUUCUCGACUGUGUUUAUAUCAAUGAAAUUCUAUUUAUGAGAUCUUCAACUCUUGCUUAGAUUGUUUUCCUACAAUCAACCAAUUUUAAUUUCAGUUUCGUGUUGACACAACUGUGCUAACACUUUGAAAAAUCAUAACUUCCUCAUACGAAGUCAGUGGACGUCUCUAUAUGCAUGCUCUUGCUUUUAUGAUUACCAUGAAUUUUGUUUAGAUUACUUAGGUUGAUAAGCGACCUAUCUAUAAUUCACUUUUUAUGACACACAUAGUUAUGUCGGUUUAAUCGCAGAACUCCAAAGAAGCAUAACGUCUUCAUACGAAGUCGGAUUUAAGCGCUCCUUAUAUCCACAACAUAGUCAUUACGACUAUUACAUCUUUAGCUAAUAUUGUCUAUUAUAUCUUAAAUGUCUAGUAUGAAUCUGCAAGCAUUACAAUUUUCUCCCCUUAGGAUGAUUACGUUCCAAAAUCAUCAACAAAAUAGGGCUGGAUAAUGAUCCUAUGAAUGAAUUUUCCAUCUUAAGCAAUAACCAUAAAUCAUAUGUCUUUCCCAACGAGUAUCAGACUCUUGGACUUCUUAGCUGCUGGCUAUGCUCAAACAUGCAUUUGCUCUUUAUUCUCUAUUGGACCUUCAGUCCUAAACUUCAAGUUACAAACUUGAUCUUAAUCAGAGACUCGUUCUCUUUCUUAAUUUUGGGUUGUAGACUCAUACCAAGAUAAGUUCUUUACUUUGGCUAUCAUAUAGACAGAAUGUUCAUACUAUAAUGACCUUCCAUCACAGGUAGCAAAGGCUAGACUCAGGUCUCUAUGAGUCAAACUCUAGCAUGGAAGACACCUUCGUUCAUGUUCUAAUGUGAUAUAAUCACAUAAUAACAUGUAGUAUUUCUAGCUACAGGCUGCUUAGUAUUUAACGACGGCUGCAACACUUCUGCCGAUCACUUCGACUAUCUUUUCCUUCAAUCUUCUGACUAAAGUUGGAUACUACAACGAACAUGAUUCUCUAAACCGAGUAACUUACUUUCAGAUUUAUCUUAAUUGGAAUUGAUUCGUUAUGACCACUAGGGUCGACAUAUUAUUCUUUUUUUUUCAUAAUCACCACUAAAACGAUGAUAACGAUGAAAUUUAGAAAACUAAACUCAACUACUAGUGUAUUAGUAACCUUGCGACUCUUCCUGAUUCAAGUAGGAGUCCUAUGCUUCGAGUAAUAUAGUCCUCUACUACCUUUCACACCUACUCAUACUCGUCCCAAUAAGUUUCUCGCAGUUUUUCCAAGUCACCAUACAAGAUAAUCACAUAGCAACUAAACACAUUAAAUAGUAUAACAUAAAUAACGAUUGUAUAACUUCUUAAAAGCGAUUACAAUGUUAUUCAAGUUCACCAUACUCCAUGCCUCCUACAUUAGGCUACAUAUCAUAAUACUAUCUAUAUGGGAUGGCUACUUCAUAUCUUGUACUCCGGAUAAGUAGUUUCCUACUCUUAAUCUACUUCAUCUUCUACUGCCUCCACAGUCAUCUAAAAUGCCCUAGCCUUUGGAUUUGGCAGUACAUUUGCCUUUGUAGCUUCCUUUUUCUUUGGACAGUCCUUUGAAAUAUGCCCGCUACCUCCAUAUACGUAACAUUUCUUGUCAUCGUACGUACAAUCUUUGGAAUAGUGAACAAUCCUUCAACAUUUGUAUCAAGUCACUUCUUUGUCGCAUCUCCUAAAGUGCUUCUUCUUACACUUCUCACAUAAACUGGCUUCAUUGUUACCCCUAUACUUCUUAUCGUUGGGGCCAGAAUUUGAGAAUUUACUAUUCUUAUUAGAUUUUGAGAAUCCUUCACCCUUCCUCUUCUCGGCAACUCCAGCCUUGUCAGUGGUUCUUACCUUGAUCAUGUCUUCGACAGAUUUGGAAACCCAGAUGGCUUCCUUAAGAGUAGGUGCCUAACAUAUUGGCACAUUGUACUCCCAUGGUAGUCCCUUCGCAUACUUAUCGACUUUUGUUAGCUUGUUGGGUACAAGGCGCAAAGCGAAUUCCAUUUUUAUGUGAAGGCAUUGGUGUCCUCAUUAGCGAACAUGUUGGUCUUCUUCAAUGUCAGAAAUUGGUUCUCUAUCUCUAGCAUGUUUUGGGCUAAGUAGAACUUGUGUUUGAAGUGAACCAAGAACUUGUCCCAUGUUAGAUGCAAUGGAACGUUAGGGAUUAUGAUCUUUCCUAAUGUGUUCCACCAACGAACAACCCCACCCCUAAAUUGUCGCACAACAUAAGUGGUAUUGAACCUUGCCAUUGCAACCACAAGUUAUGAAGGCUAACUCUAUCUCAAAGAUCCAAUCCAUAACUGCAAUCGGAUCUUCUUUCACAUUAAAAGUCAAGGUUUGCAUGUAACACCCCGUUUUCACUCUUGAGUAACAUUUAAUAUAAAUCGGUUGUUUAUAAAUUUGAAAGUAGAAAUAUAUUACUUUUAACCAAAGUAAUCAUAAAAAAAUGUAGAAAACGCCAAUACGAAUUCUAUAGAUAUAUAGAACGCUUAAAUCUGACUUCGUAUGAAGAAGAAAUGAUUAUUCGAAAUUUUGCAUUCAACCCUAUAUGACAAAAAAGUGAACCAAAGAUAGGUUGCUUAUUAACUUAAGUAACUCAAACAAAAUUCAUAGUAGUCAUAAAAGCGAGAGCGUUCAUAUGUAGAACGUCAAAAUCUGACUUUGUUUGAGGAUUUUAUGAUUUUUCAAAGUUUCGCUACGACAGUGCGCACCACUAAAAUCAAAAUUAAGAUCGGUUGAUUAAUAGCCAAAACAAUCUAAACGAGAGUUGGUGAUCUCGUAAAUACCAAUCCAUCGGUAUAAAGAUAGUCAAGAAUGGAGUUCGUAUGGAGAAGAUAUUAAUUUUACAUAGGCUUUUGUAGUGUAUUCUUCAUAGACCGUUAAAUCUAAAAUGGAGCAAUAACUAGCCGAUGGAGUCUAAAUGACAGUUAUAAUACUCUUCGAUAGUUACGCGUGGAUAUAAAGAAAUUCAAAAACGGAGCUCAUAUGCGGAAGAUACAAUUUUUAGAAGAUCCACGAUUUUACUUCUAAGGGGUAACGCAACACCUUUAGGAUUGCCACACAUGGCACUGGCCUGGACCACCCACCCUACAUACCAAGCUCGACGCCCAAUGGAUUGGCGCGACCGCCCCUUGUGUUUCUAUAAAUAGCAGCCAUGGAACACUCAUUUCCUCGCACCUUCGCAAUCCUUUCCUCUAGAUUUCUUCUAAACUCUUUGGUCUUAAUUUCCUUAGAUUUUAAGAGUGUUUACUGAUGCCUUGACUUGCUAGCAGGCAUGGAAAAUACAAGCUUUCGGGUCGAAGUUCUGCCCGAUCAAUUUCCCCGUUCUCGCAAGAAACUUUGCAAGUUAAGCUACGCUUACUAGGAUUUUAGGGUAACUUAUAUUUAAGUUAAUAGUUGUUAUUAGGAAUCUAUAAGUACCAAAUUAGUCAUUAGUUCUAGUUAAAUAUUAUGAUUGGCCUACUUACAUAAAAAGUGUAUAGAAUGGUCAUGUUCGCUUGGUUGUUAACUAUUCCAAUUAGCCGUUACCAUUAUCCUUACUUUCUAUCCCUAAAGCAUCUAAUUUAAGGGACAUAGCCUAAGUAUUAUCAUCAGGAUGGAUAAUACUGCUUAGGGGAUUCCUCAUAAAUAUAUGUCAAUAAGGCAACCAUGAGGGGGAUGGAGUACACUUGGUGAACACAUAGUUCAAAAACACCUACAGGUUGCGAGCCUGCUAGCGUUCCACUAGACCGUCUAGAAAAGUCUGUGGUCGUCAUAUAUACUCAGCUAGAUGGCUAAAUCAACUUAAACAUUGAGGCCUCUCAUCAUUUAUUUCAUCAUCUAUAUCAUCUACCCCUCUUUACACAUCAUAAUUAUAGGUAUAAAAUACAUAUACUGUUUAAAUCAAAUAAAACAUGUAUAUUUUGCUCAUCCAACAUAGAUAUGAAGAAUACAUAUAAUAUGCACACAUAGUGUAGAGACCCAUUUUUAUAACGAACGGUGAAUGCAGAAGUAAGAUAUCUUGAGAUUAAUCGUGCUUUUGGAAAUAUGAACAUGAAGAACAUAUUAUGAGUUCAUAAAAAAGACUAAGAACAAAGAGAGAAUAAUAUUGAUAUUCAUGAAGAACAUGGUGGGAGAGAAACUCUCCUUGGAUGGGAGAACCCACCACUUUUUCUCUCUCUAGAUUACAUUGUGAGAAGUAAAGUAAUCUCUAUCUAAGAAAAAAGUGAGCUAGCUUUUUGGAAUAAAUGGCCAUAAAUACAAUAAAGGGAAAAUACAACCUAAUAAACACUCAUUAUUUGUGGAGCAUUUACACGCACCAACAUUCUCUCCCUAAAUGCUUACAAAUGAUGAGAGAUACAAUAAGUGAUACAAGGCGAUAAUACAGUAAUCCGACUAGCAAGUGUGGUAAUAAAAUGAAAUCAAGUGCUGGAAUGUCUUUGAAACUCAGAAGUGUCUGUGAAGUCUGAAACUGGCCAUGAAUCUCUGAAAUGAAGGUCUUCGGCUUCAAAGCACAACCAAUGAAGCAGAAAAAAUAAGAUCCAAAACUUCAAACCAAUCAUAAUCACCCAAAGAAGGAGGUCACCAUGAUCAAGUAGAAUAUCCAAUAAAAGAAACACUUCGGCUUCAAAAAGUCUGAAAAACAUCCCGAGUUCUCAAAUCAUAAUACACCGAAAUUCUUCAAAGAAUAACUUGCUAACAAUGUGAAGCAUCCAUAAAAUGUAGUCCGGAUAAAGAUAAUAUGAGUCCAAAAACAUGGUCCAACAAUGCCAAAAUUUUGAUCCAAGGACCAAAAAAUAAGUGCCACAUCACAUUGCCAAAAUAAUCUUCGUCUUCAACAUAUCACAAAUCCAAACUCGUGAAACCAUAAGAUCUGAACCAGAUGCGAACACAAAAUCAUCCUGUGGUAGAGUCCGAAUAAUAAAUAAUCUGAAUCGAAAAACAUCGAGUAAUGCAAAAAAUUCGAUUCGUGAAGACCAAAAAUAAGUGUCACAUCGCAUAACUAAAUAAAUAAUCGUCUUCAGAAGUCUUCAAAAAUCCAAACUCAAACAAUAAUAACCAAAUCCGAAUGAUAUUCUCUCCCUAUUUUUGAUAACCAAUGACCGGAUAUCAAAAAUCAACAAAUCAUCGGAUGGAGAGUGUCGGAUACCAAGAGCUAAGAGAAGCUCUCCCUAGAUGUAUGAAGGGUCUCGAUAAGAAACGAGAAAGAGUAAAAUAAAUACUCUUGCGGUCAUGAGAAGGAGGGUGACAUAGUUGCUGAAGCUGUGUUGAGAAUAAUCUAUUGUGCCAAAAAUAUAUCCAAAUAUCCAAACUGCGGUGCCGAAACACUUGAAGUGGCUUCAAAGAAAAUAAAUUCCACUUGCUUAAAAUAAGCAACCAAGUCAUAAAAAUUCCAUAAUGUGAAGAAUGCGAAACAACUUUGUUGAUCAAUCGUCGUUGCGGUGUAAGCAUCACAAAAAAGAUAAUAUGAAGUCCGACUGCGGUAAGAGUAUUCUUCCAAUAAUAAACACCGGCAUGGAGUAAACCAAUGUGACAAUCCAAGGUUCGGUUGUGGCAAAAAUUAGUGUUAAAAAAAUUGGUUUUAAUAAAAAAAAUUGGUUAUAAUAAAAAAUGGCUAAAUAAAAAAAUGGUGUUAAAAAAAAUAAGUGGCUAAGUAAAAAAAAUUGGUUGAAAAAAAAAAGAAAAGAAAAAAAUAAUAAUUAAUUAAAAAAUAAUGCAGAAAAAGGAAAAAAAAUAUGAAUUAAAAAAAUAAAGUCCUAAAAAAGAGGGUUUUUAGAAAAAAAAAAGGAAGGGGAAAAGGAAGGGAGGGGAAGGCAAAAGAAGGAGGGAAGGAGGGGGAGGAGGAGGAAGGAGGGGCUGAAGAAAGAAGAGAGGAGGGGGAGGUCUGGGCGAAGAAGGAGGAGGGGAGGGAGGAAAUCCGAAGGCAGGAGGGUUGCGGUUCUAGGGAAGUUGCUGAUGAGAAAGGGUGGCGUGUCAGGGGAGAUGGCUUCGGAUGGAGUGGGUGCGGUGAGGGUCUUGGGUGCGAACGAGUUGGUUGCGGAUGGAGGCUAGGCUGCAGUAUGCGAAGAAGGCGUGACUGCGGUAGGCGAGGAGGCAAGCUGCUACGGUGCGAGACUGCAGUGGAGCGCCUGCGGUCCGAACCAAUAUAGAAGACUGUGGUGCGAGUACCUCGGUCCGAGGCUGCGGUCCAAGCUAUCAGAGAUCCGAAGUUGCGGUUCAGUAUAAGAGGGAAGGUUGCAGUCUCUUGGGCUGCUGACCGAGGCUGCGGAUGAGACCUGAGAGGACCUCGGAUCAAGGCUAAGAAGGGGUUGCGGGUAGGCUUCUAAGUGGACUCCGGUAGGCAGUUUUUGGCUGCGGUCCGGGGGGCUGAGAGGGGCUGAACAGAUGACGAAAAAUGCUAUUUUUUUCAUGAAAAAUUGUACCGCAAAGGCCAUUUAUUCAUAUUUUAAUGAGAGAAUCUUUUUAUAAAGCAUUCUAAGUCAAAAGUGGGUAUUGGGAAGGCAAAAAAAGAGUGUGCAGGUGGUUUUUUUGGGGACAAAAGGUGAUGGGAUUGGACUAUGUCACAUGGUUUUUGCUUGGGAAGGCAAAUAUGAGUGAAUUGCUCUUUACUCAAAAAAGUAACAAGAACAAGGUGCUUUAUACAAAAACAUAUUACGUCCAUAUUUCUUCAAAUUAAGAUUCACAGCAAGAAUAAAGAGGAAUAAAAGCUUCAUACCUCAAGAAGAUUUUCAAGCUACUGGGUAAAAAAAGAGCACCACUUCAAAGAAAAUAAGCUCAUUAAAUUUGUGUCGUCUCAUCCAAGAAUAAAAGAACUCCUGGAGAAAAUUCUUCAACAAUUUGGAGAAUACAAAAUUAAUUUCUUCUCCCAUUUUUACACUUCUUCAACAACAAAAAUAGUAAGAACUUUAAGAACAUCUUUUUCCAGCAGAAAAUAGAACGAGUAGCAACAGCAACAUUUUAUUUUUACUAAGAUAGAAUCACCCCAGAAAAAUAGAGCUAAGAAAGAACUUCAUAAAAAAAAUUCCGGUUUGAAACCCGAAAAUUUUUUCUUGCAGAAACAAGGAAAAAUCACAAGAUAAUCACCGAACGGGAGUCGUUCCCUUAAACUAAUUGUGAGAUCUUCAAGGUACGGCUCUGAUACCAAUUGUAGAGACCCAUUUUUAUAGUGAACGGUGAAUGUGGAAGUAAGAUAUCUCGAGAUUAAUCGUGUUUUUGGAAGUAUGAACAGGAAGAACAUAUUAUGAGUUCAUAAAAAAGACUAAGAACAAAGAGAGAAUAAUAUUGAUAUUCGUGAAGAACAUGGUGGGAGAGAAACUCUCCCUGGAUGGGAGAACCCACCAAUUUUUCUCUCUCUAGAUUACAUUAUGAGAAGUAAAGUAAUCUCUAUCUAAGAAAAAAGUGAGCUAGCUUUUUGGAAUAAAUGACCAACUCUCCCUUUAUAUAGGAGGGAGAGUAUUUACACCAUAAAUACAGCAAAGGGAAAAUACAACCUAACAAACACUCAUUAUUUGUGGAGCAUUUACAUGAACCAACACAUAACACAUAAUUUAUAUUAAAUACUUCAUAUCUAUGUGUAAGAUGAAAGUAACUAUGCAUUCACUUGUUAAAAUGAUGACUCAAAAUUCGGGCAGUGCUUCGCUUCCAACAAUUUUCUUUUCCUCCGUGGAAACCUAGUAUUAUCACUACUAGAUUUUAGACUAAUAUUUAUUGCGACUAAUUAUUAGUUUGAUUUAUCAUUAACUCAAAAUAUACUUUCAUGAUCUAUCAAGUAAGGAACAACCAGGUAGGAUCAUAUCAGAGGUAGGGUCCGUUUGGUAUAUAUAGUAUAGUGUUUGGAAAGCCCACAUUAAACACUUCACUAAAUCACAACCUAGACAUCAUCCAUGUAAGUAGACCAGUCAGUAUAACGGCUUUGAAUCACUAAUAAAUCUUGUUUAUAAGUUCAUAAUAAUGAUAAUGAACUUAAACAUAAGUUAUACUUAAAGUAGGGUAAGCAUAACUCACUUACAAGGGGGUUUAGCAAGGAACCGGGCUCUACGUAGGCAGAACUGCUAAGCCGAAAGCUCUUCUUCUCGGGGCCUUCUGGCGCUCCGGGACACACCUCUAACACUUAGGAAGUGCUAGGUAAUAGAAGAGAGGGUUUGUGGGUAUUGGGAGAGAGUGGGAUAAGAAUGGUGUGAAGAAAUGAGGAAGAAAUGGGUUCUAUUUAUAGGUUGGCAGAGGGUCGAAUAUGGGGGGUAUAUGAUUGGUAUGUUGGGCGUAUUGCAGUACGCUGGGCAUACUAUGUGUUAUGUUGGGAGUACACAGACACGUGUUAGCAUCGUAUGCGAAGCCCUGGGGAAGAAGGUGGGGAUGAGAUCUCGCCACAUGUCAGCUUCGGAACUUAACCCAUAAAUUGAUUAUCUUCUAAAUUGUGUAACUUUUGCAUAAAAGCUCAGUUUUUGACACACUUUAUAUCCACUUGUAGGCAGUGACGUGAUUUACAACUUUCGUUUAGACUAUGUUGGCUAAUUUUGACUUUAUUUUAAAAGGUAUACUUUAACAGGCUUAGACAGUUAAAGUCCAUUAAAAAUUCAUAACUUUACCAUCCGACGUACAAUUUCGACUGUCUUUAUAUCGUUUAGCCCCGAUUAACGAGAUCUUCAAUUCUCGUAUAGGUUGUGUCAGCUAAAAAUCGAUCAAUCUAAAAUUCAAUUUCCGGGUAGCAUAUUGCUAUGUCAAAUCUUAGAAAAAUCACAACUUCUUCUAACAAAGUUAGAUUUGGACGUUCUCUAGAUGCACGCUCUUGGUUUGACGUAUACUAUGAAUUUCGUUUACAUCGCUAAGACUAAAAAGUAUUUUAUCGCAAACUCACUUUUUAUGAUACACCGUGUCGUGUCGGUUUUGGUCGCAAAACUUCGACGAGUCAUAACUUCUUCGUUAUAAAUCAGAUUUUAGCAUUUUUUAUAUCUCCGGAAUCUUUGUCACGACCACUUCAACUUUUUCAUAGAUAUUUGGUCUAUCUCUUAUUUUAUUUUUGACGCGUAUUUUUAUUAUUAUUUUAUUACAUCGUUAUAAGCACAUAUGUAGCACAUAAAUCACAAAUUACUCAAAAAAAAUUCUUCUUCAUUACUUCAUAAUAGGUUACAAUUGUCGAACCUAACUAUUACGUCAUAAUAUUAAUGCUCUGCCAGAAAUGCAGGCGUUACAACUCUUUCCUCCUUAGGAUGAUUCCGUCCUGGAAUCAUGCAUCAACAAACAGAUGUGAAUAGCGACUCAUCAUGUCACUCUCUGUUUCCCAGGUGAGGUUUGGCCCAUUUGUAUGUUUCCAUCGGACAAGCACUAAUUCGACCAUCUUACGUCGGAACUUCUUUGUCUUACGGUCAACAAUUACUUCAGGCUCUUCGAUUAACCUUUUAUUUCAUCCAUCCUUAACUCCGAAAGUGGAAUUAUAUUGGGAAAUUCUCUUGUGAACUUCCUCAAAUAACACACAUGGAAAGUAUUAUAAAUACCAUCUAGUUCUUCUGGCAAUUCCAGCUUGUAAGAUCCCAAUCCUCUGAAGAACCUUGAAUGGCCCAAUAAAUCUUGGACUCAGCUUUCCUCUCUUUCCAAAUCAUAUAAGUCCCUUCCACGGUGAGACUUUGAGCAAUACCGAAUCUCCAACUUUGAAUGUCAUUGUUCGUCGCUUUUUGUCGACAUAGCUCUUUUGGUGAUCCUGAGCUGCUAACAUCCUUUCUUUAAUCAAUUUUAGCUUUUCAGCAGUUUGAUGGACUAUUUCGGGGCCCAUAAACUGCUUUUCUCCGACCUCAAGCCAACAAGACGGUGUAUGACACUUCUAUCCGUACAAUGCUUAAUAAGGUGUCAUCUUAAUGCUUGAAUGGUAAUUAUUGUUGUAGGAAAACUCUACCAUGGGUAAAUGCUCAUCCCAGUUACCUUGAAAUUCUAGGGUACAUGCUCUUAAGAUAUCUUCCAGUGUUUGAAUUGUUCUUUCGCUAUGACCAUCAGUCUACGGAUGGUAGGUUAUACUUAAACACAACUUUGUACCCAUUUCCUCUUGUAUACUUUUCCAAAAUCUUGAUGUGAAAAGACUAUCACGAUCUGAUACAAUCGUUAAUGGGACACCGUGAAGUCUUACUAUCUCCUUCACGUAAGCAUCUGCAAGCUUAUCCAUAGACCACCUCUCAUUGGCUGCUAUGAAGUGUGCACUCCUUGUGAAACGAUCCACGACUAUCCAAAUCAUGUUAUGACCAUUCUUCGUCUUGGGUAGUUUAGUCACAAAAUCAAUGGUGAUGUCUUCCCAUUUACCCAUGGGUACAAGUAAAGGUUCUAAACUCCCAUACUGUUUCUGAUGUUGUGCUUUAAAUCUCGCACAUGUUACACACUCUGCCACAUACUUUGCAACAUCAAGCUUCAUCUUCGGCUACCAGUAGUAAGGUUUCAGAUCCCUAUACAUCUUAGUGCUGUCGGGAAUCCUAUCUUGGAAUACCUUCAAUCUUUGAGUAAUUAUACUGAAUACCAACAUUUUGCCUAAACAUUCUUCUUUUCGGUCAUUUUUCUCCAAAGCUUCUUCCUAAGCUUUUUUAAUGCUUUCCACAUUUGUUGAGACAACUUCUAUUCUUAACGCUCUUGGCCUUUUUCUUUCUAGGUAUACUUUUCGACUUAGAGCAUCAUCUACGAAAUUUUCUUUACCGGGGUGGUAAAGUAUCUUGCAGUUGUAAUCCUUGAGUAACUCUAGCCAGCGCCGUUGUCUAAUAUUCAAUUCCUUUUGAUCCAAGAGAUACUGGAGACUUUUAUGAUUAAUGAAGAGUUUGCACUUUGUUUCUCGUAAUCUUCGACUCCUUCACGUAAAGAAAGACUCGGUGCUUCACACAACUUCUUCUUUAGUUUCUCGAAUGUUUCUUCAUGUUUCUCACUCCAUGUAUAUGUAGCUCCCUUAUGGCUCAAAGCUGUCAAUGGAGCAACUAUCGAAGAAAAGCCUUGGAUAAACCUUCGGUAAUAUCCAGCUAAUCCCAAAAAGCUUUGAAUCUCAAUGGGACUUUUUGUUCGUUCCCAUUUCAUCACAACUUGAAUCUUUGUUGGGUCAACCAUUAUUCAUUCAUGGUUAACCACAUGACCCAAGAAUUGGACUUCUCAAAUAAAAAAAAUCACAUUUGGAGAACUUUGCAUACAACUUCUCAUUCUUCAAAAUUUCUAAUAUUUCUCGUAGGUGCUUGCCAUGCUCCUGGUGGCUCUUUGAGUAAAUCAGAAUGUCGUCUAUGAACACUAUUACUGAUUUAUCGAGGAAUGGUUUACAAACCAUGUUCAUCAAAUCCAUAAAUGACUCUUUUCCGGGUGGGUUUACUCUCACCGUCUUCUUCAUGUAUAGUAUUCUGGUAUCGUGUGCACUAAGCCAAUCCAUUCCUAGUACGAUGUCAAAACCAUUCAACUCAAUGGGUAAUAGCUCCUCGUGGAAUUCAUUUUUGUUUAAUUUAAUGAUGACGUUUUUAAUGCAAUCUCUAAUAGGUAUGAAUUUUCCACUGACAAAUUCUACAACUAGAGCACUAUCAAGUUUAUCUACAGGCAAUGCUAGUUUUCCACCAAAUUUAUGCGAUAUAAAGGAGUAAUUAGCUCCAGAAUCAAACAAUAUAUUGAUGGGCAAUCCAUUUACAAGAAAGGUACCUGAAGCGACAUAUGCUGCAUCCUUUGUUGCUUCCAGGGUCAUCUGGAAUGCUCUUGCCUUUGGCCUCGGUGAAACAUUAGGCCUUGCAGCAUCAUUCUUCUUCAGGCAGUCCUUAGAAAUGUGCCGUUCUUCGUUACAUUCAUAACACACCCUCUUGCUGGAUGUAUACUCAUUGGCGUAAUGCCUAAUUUUUCCACACUUGAAACAAGUCACCUCCUCGCCACAUUUCCCAAAGUGCUUCUUUUUGCACUUCUCACACCAUUUUGCUUCUCCUCCUCCUCAAAACUUCUUAGAACCAGACUUCGAGAAUUUGCUUUUCUUGUUGGACCUUGAAGACCCUUCAAAUUUCUCCUUCUCGCCAACUUCAACCUUGUUGGCGGCUCUACCCUUGAUCAUCUCUUCGACAGACUUAGCAGCCUGUAUGGUCGCCUCAAGAGUAGGUGCUUGGCGUACUGGCAUAGUGUACUUCCAGGGUAGUCCCUUCGCAUACUUAUCGAUUUUUGUUAGCUCGUCAGGGACGAUGCACAAAGCAAACUACAUCCGUUCCUUUCAAUCUCUUCAUCCUGGUUAAUUUUUCUAGCCACUCAGGGUUCAAUUCGACUUACAGUACGACUGUAAUUUCCCUCCUCUGACUGCUCAAUAUUCAGUUCAGGCUGCUCAACAGGCAUAGAAGGUUCAUCCCUAUUAUGUUGAAAUAGAUGCCUUGUUUCUUCCAUCUGACAAUCCAACAUCAUUUGGAUCAUUGCUUGUACCCCUGCCAUCGUGAUUGGCUCGGGUGCAACUGCUACUUCCGGUGCACGCUCAAUCACUUGUGGCUAAGGCUACUGAUUUCCAUUAUCAUUUCCAUUAGAAUUUCCAGAUCUGUUUCGGGUUCUUGCCAUGUUGAUCUAUACACCAAAGUAGGCGAAUUUAGAUCUUUAUUUUCGAUAGACGUUUAAAUCCUCCUUGUUACUCACAUACGUUACAUGCCAGUUCUAAUAUCAUAGUCGAACGUUUAGAAAUCUGAACACAUAUAGUUUCCAGACCCGGUCGGCAACAGACCAUAGAUCUGAUCAAGUAAAUACACAUAAUGCAUAACAUAAAUCAUUUAGCACAUAAAAGCAAUUUAGGCAUUGUUCCUAAAAUAAGCUAGUGCUCGUGUCUAUAUAUUUUUUAAAUAUAACAGACACUCAUCUCACAAUCAUCUCUUAGCAUUCUAAGUUUAAGUAUGGAAAUCCUACAAACUCCUAGUUCGCUUAAACUAAUGCUUUGAUACCAACUGUGACAUCCCCAAUUUCACGGUCAGAAAAGACUGCUUUGUUUAUGCUUUAUUUAAAAUCAGAGUAUUCUUUUAAAGAAUAAUAUUGCGGAAUUUGUUUCCAAAAUAUGAUAAAAGUAUUAUCAAAGCAUUUCUGAAGAAAUGUGUUUUAAUUUUAUUAAAAACAUUGGGAUGUCAUUGUCAAUACAAUACAUAAGCAUAAAAAAAAUAGUACGGGCCUUACGACAUCUAUCAUUCUAAUGGCCUAUAAUCCAUUGAUCUCUCAUCAUAUCAUCACUCUUAUACUUUAUUGUCACUACCUGUAAUACAAGAAAUUGAGUGGGUCGGACUUGGAAGCCUGGUGAGCACAUAGGGUUUUUAACCCACAAUAAAUAAGUUCAUUAAUUUCAUCAAAUCAUUCAACCCGAUUACCCGUUCCCGUUAUCCUCGAUUUCUAUCCCUAAAUCAUAUAAUUUAAGGGACCUAACCUAAGUAUUAUUAUUAGGAUGGACAAAACUACUUAGGGGAUUCCUCAGCAAUGUAUGUCAAUCAGGCAACCAUGAGGGGGAUGGAGUACACCUAAUGAACAUGUAGUUCAAAAACACCUACAUGUUGUGAGUCUGCUAGCAUUCCACUAGACCAUCUAGAAUAGUCCGUGGUCGUCAUCUAUACUCUGCUAGAUGAAUAUAUUAGCUUAAACAUCGAGACCUCUCAUCAUUUAUUUCAUCAUCUAUAUCAUCUACCCCUCUUUACCCAUCAUAAUUAUAGGUAUAAAAUACAUAUACAAUUUAAAUCAAAUAAAACAUGUAUAUUUUGUUCAUCCAACAUAGAUAUAAAGAACAUAGAUAAUAUGCACACAUAACACGUAAUUAAAUUAAAUACUUCAUAUCUAUGUGUAAGAUGAAAUUAACUAUGCACUCACUUGUUAAAGUGAUGACUCGAAAUUCGAGCAGCGCUUCGCUUCCAACAAUUUUCUUUUACUCCGACGAAACCUAGUAUUAUCAUUACUAGAUUUUAGUCUAAUACUUAUUGAAACUAAUUAUUAGUCUAGAUUUAUCAUUAACUCAAAGUCUACUUACAUGAUCUAUCAAGUAAGGAACAACCAAGUAGGAUCAUAUCAGAGGUAGGGUCUGUUUGGUAUACGUAGUAUAAUGUUUGGAAAGUCCACUUUAAACACCUCACUAAAUCACAGCCUAGACAUCAUCCCCGUAAGUAGAUCAAUCAAUAUAAUGGCUUUUAAUCACUGAUAAAUCUUAUUUAUAGGUUCAUAAUAACGAUAAUGAAAUUAACCAUAAGUUAUACUUAAAUUAGGGUAAGCAUAACUCACUUACAAGGGGGUUUAACGAGGAACCGGGCUUUGCGUGGGCAGAACUGCUGAGCCGAAAGCUCUUCUUCUCGGGGCCUUUUGGCCCUUUGGGACUCGCCUCUAACAUUUAGGAAUUGCUAGGGAAUGGAAGAUAGGGUUUAGGGGUAUUGGGAGAGAGUGGGAUAAGAAUGGUGUGAAGAAAUGAGGAAGAAAUGGGUUCUAUUUAUAGGCUGGCGGAGGGUCGAACGCGGGGCAUGGAGGAUUGGUACGUUGGCGUACUGUGUGUUACGUUGUGCAUACAUGGACAUGUGUCAACAUCGUAUGUGAAUCCGUGGGGAAGAAGGUGGGGCUGAGAUCUCGCCACGUGUCAGCUUCGGAACUUAACCCAUAAAUUAACUAUUAACUUCCGCAUACAAGCUCCAUUUUUGAUGUUCUUUAUAUCCACACGUAGGUAGCGACGUGAUCUAAAACUAUUUUUAGACUCCGUCGGCUAAUUUUGACUUUAUUUUUAAAGUUAUAUUUUAAAAGACUUAGAUAGUUAAAGUUCGUUAAAAAUUCAUAACUUUGUCAUCCGUCGUUCGAUUUUGAAUGUCUCUAUAUCGUUGAGCCCCUAUUAACGAGAUCUUCAAUUCCCGUUUAGGUUGUGUCGGCUAAAAAUCGAUUGAUCUAAAAUUUGAUUUUCGGGCUGCAUACUGCUAUGCUAAAUCUGUUGGGUCAAAAAUAUGGUUUAUACUUUACUUUUCUAGGAAAUUGGGGUUUCAGUUAUGUACUAUGUAUUUGCGGUUGUGUUUAUGACCCAGGUGAGUGUUUAGGGCCGUGAAUAGGUUCAUGGCCAUGAACCUGUUCACGGACCAUGUUAAUAUAAAUAUAGUGUCAGUGGUGAGGAGUGUAAGAGAGGACGUGCGGAUAUAGUGGUACACGGCUAGAGGAGCUUAAGUGUGUAAACUCAAGGUGUGUUUUAGAGAGAGAAAGUGAAUCUUGUGUAAGGAACUUCAUUCUAAUCAAAUCAUUCAAGAUUCAUCUUAUUCUUCUUCUCCUUCUCCUCUAUUUUGAUCUUGCAUCAUCCAAAUGAUUGGGAUUCCGCACCAUCAAUUGGAUCUGAUUGAUACGUAUUAGAAAAAUCAUAACUUCUUCUAAUGAAGUUAGAUUUAGACGUUCUCUAUAUGCAUGCUAUCGGUUUGACGUAUACUGUGACUUUCAUUUUGAUCACUAUGGCUAAAAAGUAUUUUAUCGCAAACUCACUUAUUAUGAUACAUCGCAUCGUGUCGGUUUUGGUCGCAAAACUUCGACGGGUCAUAACUUUUUCGUUAUAAGUCGGAUUUCAGCGUUCUUUAUAUCUUCGGAAUUGUUGCCAUGACCACUUCAACUUUCUUCAUAGAUGUUGUGGUUCCUCCUAACCAUUGGUCGUUCAGUUUGAUAUAUAGUCCUAAUAUAGCUUCCCUCUUUGGACUGACCUUCAUUCAAUACCGGUUCAACAAUCAGUGCAAUGACUUCUCUCCUAUUCCCUUGGAUCAGUCGUAUAGUCUCCUCCAUCUGCUCAGCUAGCAUUGCCCGAAUCAUGGCUUCAACUCAUGUAUACUAAAUCAGGCACUUAGUGUAUCGUGACACGAUUAUAUUAUGAUAGGGAAGGUCUUAGUUAUGUUUAGAAGCAUAAUCCACCUUAUCACUCCGAAAAGUUAUAUGUCAAUUCUAAUACAUUAAUUAUACAUUUUGAAUCUUGAACACAUAAAGUUUCCAAAUCAAGGUUGACAAUAAACCUUAGGUCUAGUCAAGUAAUAGCAAUAUAGGUAGGCAAACUAAGGCAUGCUAUAAUAUAAAUCAUUUAACACAUAACAACAAAUUAGGCAUCUUAUCCUAAAGUAAGCUAGUAUUUGUGUCAAUUCAGGUAUACUAUUUAAAAUAUAAUAGACACACAUCUCACAAUUAAGUCUAGAAAUCCUCAAAAUUGUUAGUUCACUUAAACUAAUGCUUUGAUACCAACUGUGACAUCCCCAUUUUUCGACCCGAAAAGACCUUUUCUUUAUGCUUAUUUUAACAGAGUAUUCUUUACAAAUACGAAAUUUGUCCCAUAAUAAAUAUAUGAGAUAAAAGAAUUUCCAAAGAAACAUUUUUCAUUAAUUAUUAAAAGCUUGGGAUGUCAUAAAUGAUACAAGAAACAUAAGAAUAAACAUAGUCAUUACAUGCCAUACAACAUCUUUUUAUACUAAUGGCAUAUAUUUACUUGAAUCUCUCAUCAGAUCCUAACAUCACUAUCCAUGUAUCUUUAUACCGCUACCAGUGAUACAAAGAAACUGAUUGGGUCAGGUUGGAAAGUCUGAUGAGUACUUAGGGUUUUCAACCCACAAUAAUAUAAUUAGUUUGUUUAAUUAUAUAUAUAUAUAUAUUUCACAUCAAACAAUUAACUCGAUUAUCCAUCCCUAUUUUCUUUAUAUAUAUNNNNNNNNNNNNNNNNNNNNNNNNNUAAGGAUCAUCACAAACGUCUAGUAGACAGUAAUGCUUCGGGGAUUCCUCCGCGAUACAUGUCAGUAAGGAAUAGAGUACAUCGCAUGAACAUGUAGCUCAUCACCUACAUGUUGCGAACCUUCCCACUAGACUGUCUUGAAUAGUUCGUGGUUGUCAUCUAUACUCUAUUAGAUGAAUACAUCACACAUCGGUAGUAAAGUCAUGGCCUUUCCUCAUUAUUUUUCAUCUCUCAUCAUCCAUCGCUACCUAAUAUAGUAUCCAUAUGAAAAUACAUAUACUGUUAUAUAAAAAUCAUCUAAUAUUAAAUCAUCACAAAAUAUAUUAAUGACAAAUAGUAAGCACAUAUAAAAUUUAAUUAUCUAAAUACUUCAGAUCUAUGUGUAAUAUGAAAAUAACCAUGUACUCACUUGUUAAAGUGGAUGACUUGUGAUUUGGGCAGCGCUUCGCCUAAUACCUUAGCUUUUCCUUUUAAAAGACAGAGGUGUGUGUGUGUGUGUGUAUAUAUAUAUAUAUAUAUCACUAAACCUUAGUAUUUGUUUCAUAAUUAUUAUGACUAUAAUGAAGAUAAUCUAGAUUCCACAAUAAUCCCAAUUAAUAUUGAUCUGUAGCUGAUAAGGAGCAACCAUGUAAGAUCAUAUCGGAGGUAGGGUCCGUUUGGUAUACAGAGUAUACUGUUUGAAAAUCCCACUUUAAACACCUCAAUAAAUCUAGCCUAGACAUGCCACGUGUUACAUUCUGCCUUGUCCAUGCCGCCCCUUCUAGAAGCGUGCACCACGCUUACCUAUCAUACAUGAUGUUGUCUUCGAAAAACUUCUAAAAAUCGUAUAUUGCUUGUUCGAGCUCCGUUUUUGAUGUUUUUUAUAUCCACGUGUAUCUAUCGACUAUUACUACAACUUUCAUUUUGACUCUGUAGGCUAAUUCUCACUUUAUUUUUAAUUUUUUAUUUUAAAAGGCUUAGACUGCUAAAACUUGUAUAAAAAUCAUAAUGUAUAAAAAUCAUAACUCUUUUAUGUGAACUCCAUUCUUGACUGUCAUUAUAUCGAUGGAAUUAUAUUUACGAGAUAUUAAACUCUUGUUUAGAUUGUUUUUCCUAACAAUCAACUCAUUUUAAUUUCGGUUUAUGUGUUGACGUAGCUGCGCUGAAACUUCAAAAAAUCAUAACUUCCUCAUAUGAAGUCAGAUUUGGGCGUUAUCUAUAUGCAUGGUCUCAUUUUUACGAUUACUGCGACUUUCAUUUAGAUUACGUAGGCUAAUAAGCAACCUAUAUCCAAUUCACUUUUUAUGGCACGCAUAGUAGUGUCGAUUUGAUCACGAAACUUCGAAGAAGCAUAAUUUCUUAAUACGAAGUUGAAUUUAAGCGCUCCUUAUAUCCACGAGAUUGUCAUUAUGACUACUACAUCUUUAUCUAAGAUUAUCUAAUAUAUCUUAAAUGUCUAGCCAAAAUCUGCGGGUUUUACAACAAUCAUAUUUAAUAGAUCGUUUCUUAUGUUUUUUUUGUUUUAGUUUAUCGAUUAUAGUGUAAUAACAUAAUGUUUUCACUAUAUUAGAUGUAGCCUAAGGAUUUGGUUUGAUUUAAUUGUACAAAUAUUGUUUUUGUUUAAUAUAUUAUGAUUGUUUUAUAAAAAAUCCCUACAUGUUGAAGUUUUGGUUUUUAUUACUUAUUGCUAAAGUUAGUAGAACUUUAGACUAUCAAUCGAGUUUGAUUAUCUUGUUUCAUAGUCGUUUUAUGACCAUUAAAUUAUUAUGAAUAGUGUUUGACGUUACCUAUGUUUAGAUGAUAAAAUCAUAAACUUUAAUGUGUAAGCGAAGCGCUUUAGUUACUAACUUAUGCUUAUUAUUAACUUUAAUAACUAUUGAAGUUAAUUCCUGGAUCAAAUAUCUGAUAAUAUGAAUUUAAUUAUAAUUGUUUAGAUAUUUGUCUUAAUUGUAUAAUUUAUUUUUCUGACCAAGAUAACUAAUACUUUAGAAAUCGGAAAAUAACUAAAUAUUCAUUUCACUAAAUUUGAAUCCACCAUACUUAAAAGAGAAAAUCGAAAUCUAUGUGAAAACAUUUUUAUCUCUUUUGUCUUUAAAUCCAUUCUUUAUUUUUGUUAGUUUAGUUGAAUUGAAUCAAACCCUCCUUUUUCUUUUAUUGUGUAUAGUUUAAUUAACAUUUGAAUAUAUCUAAACUAAAUUCUCAUUAUCACUGUGCUCGACACCUGAGCUUACCAAAAUUAUAUUGUUACUGUGUAACACGAUCAUGUCGACUGCCUGUAACGUGUAUUAGUUUAGCCACAAUAAANNNNNNNNNNNNNNNNNNNNNNNNNNNNNNNNNNNNNNNNNNNNNNNNNNNNNNNNNNNNNNNNNNNNNNNNNNNNNNNNNNNNNNNNNNNNNNNNNNNNNNNNNNNNNNNNNNNNNNNNNNNNNNNNNNNNNNNNNNCACACACACAUCAAGUUUUUGGGAGUCGUUUUCAGAGAAUUGUUUUAAAGUAUUUAAAGUUUAUAAACUAAAUUAAACACAUCAAUGUACUAUUUUUUGAUGGGCUAAGGGAAAUCAAGUUAUUAAUCAAAUAAGCGUUUCACAAAAACUUAUUUACCUAAUAUGUAUACUUUUAAACGUAUUUACCAAAAUAAAUUAUUUAUCAAUUUAAUAGAAAGUUAAGGAAAAAAAUGUCUACUCAUUUCCUAUUCUUUUCUCCACAGGUCUAUUAACUUUUUUUUUUUCCUUUUAGAUUCAUUAUAGGUACUAUUUAUUUUUAUUUUUUAAAUUUAAUUAUUUUGAUUUUUUUUGAAUUUUUGCUAUAAAAUCUAUCAAAAGUUUUUACAAACACCAUUAUAAUUAAUAAUCUUUUGAAUCUAAACCAAUAAAGGCUUCUUACAAAAACCAACAAACAAUUUUUUGAAUCUAAACCAACAAAUAUCAUCUUAAAUUAAAAAAAAAAUCAUAGGUUCAAUAUUUUAAGUACAAAACAAAAAAUCGUUUCUUUCAAAAUACAAAAGAAAAUAAGAACAUUUGGAAUAACUAGAUUCCAUUACCAAUAUCUCCAAAAAAUGAUAAAAAAAAAAUAAGAUAUAAAACCAGACCAAUAAACCCAAAAAAAUAUAUUGAAUAUNNNNNNNNNNNNNNNNNNNNNNNNNNNNNNNNNNNNNNNNNNNNNNNNNNNNNNNNNNNNNNNNNNNNNNNNNNNNNNNNNNNNNNNNNNNNNNNNNNNNNNNNNNNNNNNNNNNNNNNNNNNNNNNNNNNNNNNNNNNNNNNNNNNNNNNNNNNNNNNNNNNNNNNNNNNNNNNNNNNNNNNNNNNNNNNNNNNNNNNNNNNNNNNNNNNNNNNNNNNNNNNNNNNNNNNNNNNNNNNNNNNNNNNNNNNNNNNNNNNNNNNNNNNNNNNNNNNNNNNNNNNNNNNNNNNNNNNNNNNNNNNNNNNNNNNNNNNNNNNNNNNNNNNNNNNNNNNNNNNNNNNNNNNNNNNNNNNNNNNNNNNNNNNNNNNNNNNNNNNNNNNNNNNNNNNNNNNNNNNNNNNNNNNNNNNNNNNNNNNNNNNNNNNNNNNNNNNNNNNNNNNNNNNNNNNNNNNNNNNNNNNNNNNNNAUAUAUAUAUAUAUUCUGAUUAUGAUCAUUUUGCUUACAAAUUUAAAAAAUGUUCACUUUUCUUCCUUCUUUAAUAUCCAUUCCAUUCCAUUGAAGAUAUAUUAUUCUUUUGAGUUCAUUUGCAUGAUUUUAUAUCUUAUUAAUUUAUUUAUUUUGCAGAUAGUGGUUAUCGAAUAUUUUGAAUGUUUUUUAUUUUUUUUUGUAUUUUUUUAAAAACGAUUAUCGGUUUUGUACUUAAAAUGCUAACAUAAAAUUAAAAUGCUAACAUAAAGACGGUGUCCCAAAUUCCCGCUCCUAGCUGCUUAGAACCGAUUUUUAAAACAAAACAUUAUGGUUUUGUAUACUACUAAAAAUUGAGGUAAUAAAUAUUUUAAUAUAAUGAUCCCUUAUUGGCUUAUUCUUUGAUAUUUGGAUCUAUUGGGCCCAAUUACUAAAAAAAACCGGUCUCACAGUGGCUAAAAAAACUCACCAAAGUGCCCGGUCCACUGUUAUUUUCUUUGUGAAAGAUGACCAGGUGAUGUUCAGUUUGGACUUUGGUCGCUUGAAAUAAAAAUUGAGAUAAUAAAUAUUUUAAUAUAAUGAUCCCUUAUUGGCUUAUUCUUUGAUAUUUGGAUCUAUUGGGCCCAAUUACUAAAAAAAAACCGGUCUCACAGUGGCUAAAAAAACUCACCAAACCGCCCGGUCCACUGUUAUUUUCUUUGUGAAAGAUGACCAGGUGAUGUUCAAUUUGGACUUUGGUCGCUUGACAUAAAAAUUGAGAUAAUAAAUAUUUUAAUAUAAUGAUCCCUUAUACGAUAUUUGGAUCUAUUGGCCCAAUUACUAAAAAAACCGGGUCACACAGUGGCUGAAAAAACUCACCAAACCGCCCGGUCCACUGUUAGCUUCUUUGUGAAAGAUGACAGUUUGGACUUUGGUCGCUUGAAAGUUCCAGUGUAGAAGUUAGGGCACGCUUUCUCCCUCUGCAUUGUCGGUCUAAGUUGUUUUUUUGAUCAAAAUCAUAUUACAAUUUCAUACCUGCAAGCUGCCCCAUCAUCAUCAUCUCGACAAUGGCACAUCUUAUUUCAGAAUUGGGUAAAUUUGAAAUAUUCUGAUAAAAGUUUAAUAUUGUUCUUGAAGCUAUUUUGAACCAUCAGUUGUACUGUAUAUGCCUUAUGUUCGUGUGAUUGUUGUGGAUGGGCAGAGAGAGUGCGCCUCGGAUAAUCUUUCACAACAUUGUUCAUAGGCCUCGCCACAGUAUAAUCGGUAUACUAACUCCUAAUUUACAAGUUUGUCUGUCUGAGGAAGACAAAUGCUGUUCUUUUCCUGUUGAACUUAUGUGGACUUUUUGGAAAUAUUAGAUCAUUUUUACUUUUCCCCAACUCUCUCAAGCAAUUCAAUAACCCUAGUUCAAAAUUUAAUCUGCUACUUCCAAACAAUGACUGCAGCUUCUAAUCAUGUUUAUUUUGAAGAAGAGUCUUCAAUGCCGACCCUUACUUCUCAAUCAAGCAAUUGUCAAGCCAUUUUGAAUCCAUCCAAGUAUCCUGAACCUCUUCAGAUUUUGGUGGAAUGUAUGAAAUGUUCUUUUUUAAGUAGAGCUUUGUCAACAGCUAAAGAGGUUCCAAUGAGAAUCGUUACUCUAGCAUUCACUACAGCAAUUGUCAACAAAGUGAACGAUACAGUUUCUUUUGUAAUUCAUGGUGGAAAGCGAACAACCAUUUCUAAGACAAAUUUUGCAAAACUUUUAUGUCUUCCAACUCAAGGGCCGUAUGUUACUCCAACAAGUGAAGAGCUCAUUGAUAUGUUCAAUUCUAUGGGUCAUAAACCUUAUAUGAAGAAGGUGUCUGAUUUCAAAAAGAGCAAACUUCCUGCUGUUUGGAGUCUGCUAUUUGGAUUCAUUCUUCGUGGCUUAACAAGUCGUGCUUGUGGAUUGGAUGCUGCACGCAGAGAGGUAUUGUCUCUU
Molecule: long non-coding RNA, 76863 nt
Filed under: Lactuca sativa (garden lettuce)
Lineage: Eukaryota; Viridiplantae; Streptophyta; Magnoliopsida; Asterales; Asteraceae
Description: long non-coding RNA (LSAT_LNC009428)
Source: RNAcentral